RNAcentral lists this long non-coding RNA (46962 nucleotides) under Capsicum annuum. Its description in RNAcentral is "long non-coding RNA (CANN_LNC003137)". The record is from RNAcentral. Lineage: Eukaryota; Viridiplantae; Streptophyta; Magnoliopsida; Solanales; Solanaceae.
ACCCAACGCUCCAAAAGUAAAGUUUCCACUAUGAUAAUAUUUGUACAAUUAUAAGAAUGUAAAAUAUAAACAUAAAACUCGAACUCUUCUUUUUGAGUGCCAUUCUCGAUAAAUAUUUCUGAGAACCUAUAUAAAUGCUCGCGGUAAAGAUGUUAGUAACAGAUCAAGAUAAAUAGAAUUUUCAUUAAAAGCGGGCUCAGAUAAAGUUGUAAAAAAAGUUAUAAAGAUUUCAUCAUUGCUCAAAUUAUUUAUUUUAUUAUGUAUUUAUAUAUGUAACACCCGUCUUUUUAAUUUGUGAAGGCCUUAAAAAUUGAUGGUGAAUUUUUUCAUCGGCCAAUACAAUGUUGUAUUUAUUCGUUAUCAGUAUAGUAAAUUGAAGUACAAAAUCGUCCAAUAUCAGUCACUAGAGAUGCAAAACAGCAGCAAACCCAACUGUAAAUAAAUGGGAAGGACAAAAUCAUCCAAAAACCAAUCCCUAGAGAUGCAAAACAACAACAAAUCUAAGGAUAAAAAUGGUCAAUAACAGUGAUAAUAAAAAUGGCAAACACAGACAACCAUACUCAUCCGAUUAAUUUAAGAUCCAUCCAAACGGAUUUAGAAUAUAGCCAACAAUAACAUGGUCGUCUUUCAUCCCAUAAUAAAAUAGUCACAUAAAUCAUGCAUGGGGCAUUACCAGAACAAGAAUGAAUGAUGUUCAUCGGAGAAAUGUUAGAUACACAAAAUUUGGCCAGAUCUGUAAACAUUAAAAUAAAACAUUAGAGAAAAGUGAAAGGAGAAAGAGAGAGAGGGUAUUAUGGUGUUGCUGUGGUGGCACUGGCAGUGUUCACCGGUGGAGCCGUUUGGUCAGAGAAGAUACGAGACGGGGAACGGCGGCUGGAGGAAGCGUAGGCUGGACGAUCUUGCCGGCUGGUGCUGGUUGGGCGAUGGGAAAGGGAAGAAGGGAAGGUGAAAGGAGGCUUUUUCGUCGACAGCAGCCGUGUUGGGCUUCUUCCAAUCGGAGGACUGGUGGAACUAGUUUUGGUUGACCGGUGGCUUGGUAUGGUUGUUGUUGGGUUUGUCUUUUAAAGAGAGAGAGGUCGUAUGGUGGUGGCGGUGUUUGGCUGGAGGAGCUUUUUUACUGGUGGAGAACAGAGGGAGGGUCGACUAUCACCGCUGUUUCGCCUGUUGGAGAGGAGAGAAGAAGGAGCGGAGUGGGCUGGCGACUUGAGAGACGGUUGCUUGGUGGGUGGCGGCAGCCAUGGAUAUUAAUAGGGAGAGGAAGAGGAAUUUGAGGGUAGACAGAGAAAUGGGAAAAGAAUGUGACUGAAUUGUUUUUUGUGUGUGUUAGUGCAUGUAUUGGGUAAAAAAUUUACCCCUCCUCUAUUUAUAAUUAAAGAAGAAGCCCUUUUUUUACAAUAAAGAAUUAAUCCCUCUUAUUCCCUGAAACAUUAGUUAGACCACGAGAUAUUAUCUAAUAAAUUUUUAUUCUUUUAACUAAUGUGCAAAAAUUUUUAAUCCAAUGGAUAAAUAACUCAAUUCGUCACUUCAAGUGUCACUUUUAAAGAUGACGAGAUCUUGAUUUGACUGAUUUGCUGCUUUGUGUAUUAAAAUAAUUGAGCCGACAUUAUCGUUUGCAGCUCAUCUUAAAUAAUGUACAAAAAUAUAAAAUGUCGAUGUGUAAUGACAGAAAAAUACAAAUAACAAAUAUAAUAUAAUUAUCUUAAAAAAUAUAUUAUACUAUAAACAAUUAAAAUUAUAAUAUGUAAAAAAAAAAUUACAGUGUUAUGUCAUGUACGAAUGCAUAUAACUGUGCAAAAAAUAUUAAAAUAAUAAUAAACUGAUAACAAUUUUAAAAUUUACAAAAUUAGGAAUAAUUAUCAAUUAAUUAUACAAAGUUAAAAUUUAACAAUAAUUUGAUAAAAAAAAUCCUAAAAAAUGAUGAUUAUUGUUAAUUUGCUAAAAAAAUAUAACAAAUGUGUGAAAAAUUACAUUUUAUGCACUUAAAUGAUCAUAAAGCUUGAAAGUGCUAAUUUUAAUCACGAAGAGCCAAAAUUGGGUGUCAACAUAUGUUCACCAUGAAAAGUUCAAAGGAAAACCCACUUAUCCAGAUGCAAUCAGUCUUUGUUUGAUAAUCACAUGCUUGUCUGUAAAUUCUUCAUAAGAUAGCCAUUCCCCAUUUAUCUGGGGGAUUGUUGGGUUUAAGUUGAAUGUGUGAAUGGAAAAUGGAGGGAAGUGAGUCCAAACUAAUCUGACAAGAUGGUGAACUUCCUCAACUAACUUGUUCUUACAAUCCUCGAUGUAAGUAACACUACCCAUGAACAACCUACUGAGGGCGUCUGCCACUACAAUGGCCUUGCUCGAAUAAAAUAAAACACUCAUAUCAUAAUCUUUCAACAACUCUAACCAUCUUCUUUAAUGCAGAUUCAAAUCCUUCUACGAGAAUACAUACUGCAAGCUUUUGUGAUCUGUGAACACAUCAACAUGCAGCCCAUACAAAUAGUGCCUCCAAAUCUUUAAGGCAAACACAACAACUACUAACUCAAGAUCAUGGGUAGGGUAAUUAUUUUCAUGUGGCUUAAGCUAUCUAGAGGCAUAGGCCACAACCUUAUCCUUCUGCAUCAACACACACCCCAAACCAACUCUGAAAGCAUCAUAGUACAUAACAAACCUAUCCGAACCAUUUGGUAACGUCAAAACUAGGGUUGUGGUGAGUCAAGUCUUCAACUCCUGAAAAUUCUUCUCACAAGAAUCUAACCACUGAAACCUAACUUUCUUCUGAGUCAAUCUGGACACGGGGGACGUAAUAGAUGAAAACCCUUCGACAAACCAUCGGUAAUAGCCAGCCAAACCCAAGAAACUCCUGACAUCUGAUGGAGAAAUGAGUCUGGGAUAGUUUCUCACCACUUCGGUCUUUUGAGGAUCAAUUCUAAUGCCAUAACCAGAAAUAAUAUGAACAAGGAAAGCUACUGAACUUAGCCAAAAUUCCCACUUACUAAAUUUAGCGAACAAAUGAUGGGCUCUAAGAGUCUGCAAUAUUAUUCUGAGGUGGUUUACAUGAUCAUUUUUGUUACGGGAGUAAACAAGGAUGUCAUCUAUGAAGACUAUGACGAACAUGUCCAUGUACUGCUUGAUCACUCGAUUCAUCAAGUCCAUGAAGGCUGCUAAAGCAUUUGUGAGACCAAAGUACAUGACUAGAAACUAAGUGACCAUAUCGAGUUCUAAAGCUAUUUUCAAAAUGUCACUUUCUCUGACUCAGAGCUGAUGAUAGCCAAAUCUGAGGUCUAUCUUAGAAAAAUAACUGGUGCCCUAAAGUUGGUCGAAUAAGUCUUUGAUUCUGGGAAUUGGAUAUUUGUUUUUGAUUGUGACUUUGUUUAACUGACGGUAGUUAAUACACAUUCGAAGAGAAUCGUCUUUCUUAUGCAUAAACAAAAUUGGUGCGCCCAAUGGGGAAACGUUGGGCCUCCUAAUGAAUCCCUUAUCUAGGAGAUCUUUCAACUUUUUGAGUUCGGCUGGAGCCAUUCUGUAUGGAGGAAUAGAGAUAGGCUGGGUAUCUAGAAAAAGGUUUAUUUCGAAGUCGAUUUCCCUUUUGGGAGAAACUCCGGAAAGAUCUUCAGGGAAUACAUUUGGAACUUCCCUCACUACUAAAUCUGACUCAAGAUUAGGAGUCUCAGAAUUGGAGUCUUUAACUCGGACAAGAUGGUAAACAAACCCCUUAGAUAUCAUUUUUCUCGCUCUAAGGUAUGAAACAAGUUGACCCUUAAGUGUUGUGGUACUACCCCUCUAUUCAAGGACUGGUUCAUUCAGGAACUGAAAAUAGACAACUCUAUUUCUACAAUUAACUAAAGCAUAGCAUAAUGGAGCCAAUCCAUGCCAAGAAUGAUGUCAAAAUUCGACAUCACUUGCUCUACGAGGUUUGUUGAAGUAACUUUUUGAGACACCAUAACCGGACAGUUUCUUUAUACCCGUCAGACUAUGAUAGACUUACCCACUAGGGUAGAGACUGAGAAAGGAUCAAAUAGGAUUUUAGGGUUGACUCUGAAGUUGAUGGCUAUGUAAAGAGUUACGAAAGACAGAGAAGAUCCAAGACCUAACAAGGCAUAAAUAUGUAAAUAAAAGAUUUGCAAUAUACCAGUAACCAAAUCAGGAGAAAUCUCCUGAUCUUGUUGGGACUGAAGUGCAUAGAGCCUGUUUGGGCGUUGCCCACUGGUGGCACUAGAAGCGGCACCCUGUUGAGACGGGCGACCGAACCGAACUCGAGGAUGAUUAUACUGACUCUGUGAACCUACCUGAGGUCACUCUCUGAUCCUAUGGCCUGGAUUACCGCACCCAAAACACACAUCGCUGCCAGCCCUGUAGACACCCUGAUGGUUUCUGCCACAUUUCUGACAAAGAGGAUUUGUUCGAGUAUUGUUUGCACUACCCUGAGAUUUAAAACUUGACGCCCUAUCCUUAUUAUUAUUCUUGAAUUGGUCAUCGGUAUACUAGUUGAAGACGAAGCUGGGACUAAAGAUUUUGGGUAAAACUGAGGACUGUUUCCACCUUCUGACUUUGGCUGAGCAAAACUGAAACUACCGGUUCUAGCCCUCUUGCUUUCCCUCUCUUUCUCCUUAGUAUUUUGUUCCUUAAUCUGCUGAGCAUGGAACAUCAACCUAGACAAGUCCAUCUCUUUAAUCAACAUUGCGGUCCUACACUUAUUGACCACACAGUCAGAUACCCCAGACACGAACUUGCUCAUCUUAGACCUGCUAUCAGCUACUACAUGAGGAGCAUAACUGGCCAACUGAGUAAACUUGAUGGAAUACUCUUUCACACUCAUGUUGCCCUGCUUCAGGUUGAUAAAAUCUAAUACCUUAGCCUCUCUUUACUCCAAUAAAAAGAACCUAUCUAAGAAAGCAGUAGAAAAUUCUUCCCAUUCGAUAGGCCCUGCAUCCGCACCUCUCUCUACCUUCCACUACUUAAACCAUGAAUGACCUAUAUCUUGCAACUGAUAGGUAGCUAACUCCACACCCUCACUAGAAGUUACCCCCAUAAUAUCUGUUACCUUUUGCACCAUGUCAAGAAAUUCCUGUGGGUCCUCCUCAAACUUAGACCCUGAAAAUGAAGGAGGGUUCAUUCAGGUGAAGUCCCAAAUUCUAGCUACAGCAGUAUUGGCCAUUGGUUAGCUUGAACAGUAGAUGGUCGAACAUUCUGAGAUUCCAUAGAAUAGGCUAGGUGGUGAAUGCUGCUCUGAAUUCUGUGUGAGAAACAUGCUCAUCUAGGGGAUCUUCCUGAAUGGGCAGAGGUGCUGGCUGGUUCCUAGUCCUUUUUUACGUUAGUCUUUCUGGGAGGCAUGUUUUGUAAAUCGAAGGAAAAGUUAGAUUAGACAGAGAUUUUAACUUGAGCUCAUGCUCACUCGCAUGAUACAAACACUGAAAGAAGGGAACUUUUCCUUAAAUGCCUCGUAGCCUCUUGCCCAUAAGUAUGCGCUUCACAUCCAUGCAAAAGACUCUACUUGACACGACUUUCAGAAUCCUUAGGACACUUUAGAACCUUAGGCUCUGAUACCAAGUUUGUAAUGCCCCGAGACUACACCCUGGGCAUCACACGGUGCUUACAACCCCAAAGGACCACAAGCUAACCCAUGACUGGUACCUGCUGUGAGCACUGAAUAAUAAUCAUGAAAUAUGUACAGAAGUAAAACUAAAAAUGACAUAAGGUUCAUAAUACUGAAUCAAUACUGAGUAUAUCUGUAGAAUAACUGCUAACUGAAAAUAUCUAAAAGCCUCUAAACAUCUAAAAUAAAAGAGUUGAUGGGAUAAGCCCCAACUAACUCACAACUGCUUUCUAAAAUGACUUAAAUAAUGCAAUGACUAAAUAAGUAUCACGUCCUCGAUGGAUGAGGACUCACUACUACAACUGCAGCUGAUCGACUGAUCUAGCUAAGUACGAUCAGGAACCCGAGCAUCCGAAUCCAUGAUAUGAGACAUUAUAGUGCAAAGAGAAAGUAUGCAUCAGUACUUUAAAUGUACUGGUAUGCUAUGUGAGGUUAGGCUAAAAUGCUAAGGUUCAUAUGCAUGACUAAUAAUAACAACUGAAUAUAGUGAAGUGACUAGAUGCUAGUACAUGCAAGACUGAGAUUACUGAAGAUAAUGAACAUGCAAUAUCAAGCAUAUAUCGUUUGUCUAAAUUAGGCUGAAACUGAAGUACUGAGUUUCUGAUAACUGAUUACUAAUAACUAGAAGUUAUGAUCGUGUAGAACUGAACUGAGUUCUAUACUGAAUGUUGACUACUAAAUACUGAAUACUGAGUACUGGAACUGAGACUAUAAGAGUUAUCAUCUAACUGACAUAACCCAUUUAUAGACUGAUUUGGGAUCCAAACUGUAACCUCAGUUGGAAGAGUGUUAGCACUGUGCCACGGGUUACAAACACUCAUGUUGCCCUGCUUCAGGUUGAUAAAAUCUAAUACCUUAGCCUCUCUUUACUCCAAUAAAAAGAACCUAUCUAAGAAAGCAGUAGAAAAUUCUUCCCAUUCGAUAGGCCCUGCAUCCGCACCUCUCUCUACCUUCCACUACUUAAACCAUGAAUGACCUAUAUCUUGCAACUGAUAGGUAGCUAACUCCACACCCUCACUAGAAGUUACCCCCAUAAUAUCUGUUACCUUUUGCACCAUGUCAAGAAAUUCCUGUGGGUCCUCCUCAAACUUAGACCCUGAAAAUGAAGGAGGGUUCAUUCAGGUGAAGUCCCAAAUUCUAGCUACAGCAGUAUUGGCCAUUGGUUAGCUUGAACAGUAGAUGGUCGAACAUUCUGAGAUUCCAUAGAAUAGGCUAGGUGGUGAAUGCUGCUCUGAAUUCUGUGUGAGAAACAUGCUCAUCUAGGGGAUCUUCCUGAAUGGGCAGAGGUGCUGGCUGGUUCCUAGUCCUUUUUUACGUUAGUCUUUCUGGGAGGCAUGUUUUGUAAAUCGAAGGAAAAGUUAGAUUAGACAGAGAUUUUAACUUGAGCUCAUGCUCACUCGCAUGAUACAAACACUGAAAGAAGGGAACUUUUCCUUAAAUGCCUCGUAGCCUCUUGCCCAUAAGUAUGCGCUUCACAUCCAUGCAAAAGACUCUACUUGACACGACUUUCAGAAUCCUUAGGACACUUUAGAACCUUAGGCUCUGAUACCAAGUUUGUAAUGCCCCGAGACUACACCCUGGGCAUCACACGGUGCUUACAACCCCAAAGGACCACAAGCUAACCCAUGACUGGUACCUGCUGUGAGCACUGAAUAAUAAUCAUGAAAUAUGUACAGAAGUAAAACUAAAAAUGACAUAAGGUUCAUAAUACUGAAUCAAUACUGAGUAUAUCUGUAGAAUAACUGCUAACUGAAAAUAUCUAAAAGCCUCUAAACAUCUAAAAUAAAAGAGUUGAUGGGAUAAGCCCCAACUAACUCACAACUGCUUUCUAAAAUGACUUAAAUAAUGCAAUGACUAAAUAAGUAUCACGUCCUCGAUGGAUGAGGACUCACUACUACAACUGCAGCUGAUCGACUGAUCUAGCUAAGUACGAUCAGGAACCCGAGCAUCCGAAUCCAUGAUAUGAGACAUUAUAGUGCAAAGAGAAAGUAUGCAUCAGUACUUUAAAUGUACUGGUAUGCUAUGUGAGGUUAGGCUAAAAUGCUAAGGUUCAUAUGCAUGACUAAUAAUAACAACUGAAUAUAGUGAAGUGACUAGAUGCUAGUACAUGCAAGACUGAGAUUACUGAAGAUAAUGAACAUGCAAUAUCAAGCAUAUAUCGUUUGUCUAAAUUAGGCUGAAACUGAAGUACUGAGUUUCUGAUAACUGAUUACUAAUAACUAGAAGUUAUGAUCGUGUAGAACUGAACUGAGUUCUAUACUGAAUGUUGACUACUAAAUACUGAAUACUGAGUACUGGAACUGAGACUAUAAGAGUUAUCAUCUAACUGACAUAACCCAUUUAUAGACUGAUUUGGGAUCCAAACUGUAACCUCAGUUGGAAGAGUGUUAGCACUGUGCCACGGGUUACUAACACUAGCUGGAUCAACCCUAAUCUGGUAGGAAGACUCAUGGGAUGUAUAUGGUUACGUCAACCCUAUUCUGGCAGAAAGACAAUUUACCCUAAAAUGGCUAGGUAGUUCUGUAACUCAGGGACUGCUACUAAGGGUCAAACCCUAAACUGACAGGAAUUCCCCCAUCCCUGGGUUCGCUCGAUGUUGAAUCCUACUCCUAACUGAACCAACACUGAUCACUAGACUGUACUAAUCUUGAUUGAACUCACGCUGAUUCUGUUAACUGUCCAAAAUGCUACUGUACGAGAUACUACGGGAUCAUUCUAUUAUGACUGGAAACUAAGUAAGCAGCUAAUUUCAGGUAUACAAUAUCCUCAGGACUCGAUAGCAUAAAUAAUGGAACCAUAUCAUAAGUUUAAAACCAUUACAAUUAGGAUUUCAUGCACAAUUUGUUCACAUAGACAUUUUGUCAAACACUUAGGGAGCAUGGUUCUUGUACAUGAGAAAGAAUAACAUGGGAAUAUCAUGACUACAUCAUUUAACUCACAAUUUAUGGGUUAUGACCUGGGGAGUACAUAAAUCAACAUACAUGCUAAAUUAUUUACUUGAAAUUCAUAAUCUUCUUAGUUUUUAAACCCCCUACAAUCAACACAUACAUGAACACAAUUCAAUUUAGGAAUGCAAUUCAUAAUUUAAAUUCUCAAAAAGGAUUCUUGAACUCCAAGGGUGGAAGGAACCCAAGGAUGAGCACUAAACAUACAUUGAUUUAUGAAUUUGUGAGAAUUGAUGGUGAAUUCUUGAGAUUUGAUCUUGAAUCUUGGAGGCUAGGAUUUUGUUCUUGAAAGAGGGCUACUUUAUUUUGAGAAAAUUGCAAAAAUAAUGAGCAAUUAGUGCUUUCUGAGACUUAAAUCCCGUGUUUGGACGGAGUGGGGUGAGGAAAAAUGACUUAAAUGCCCUUAGAAAUUAAAAAGCGAAACUGAACUCAAAAUCCCAAUUUUGAUACUCGGUGCGAUGUGGUGCAAUUGUGUCAGGCCACUGGAAAAGGAACCAUCCCGAAUUUACCCAACGGCGCAACGCGGUGAAAUCGCAUUGAGCCACUGGAAAUGGAUAAUUCUGAAAUGGCACCUUGGCUCGAUGUGGUGCCAAUCGUGCCUCACUGGAAAGUGAAAAAUGUGAAAAUGCCCCUUGGAGUGACGCAAUGUUUAUCACGGUGACACACUAAAAAAGUUCAAACGUGAAAUUGGCCAUCACCGCGACGCAACCUUAUCGUGUUGGGCUACUAUUUUUAAUUAAAAGUGUCAUAACUUCUCACCCAAGUAUCAAAUUUAGGCAAAAUUGGUAUUGUUGGAAAGCUAAUUCAAUUUCCUACAAUUUUUUGGGUAUUGAAAUGGAAAAUUCUAAGUAUAUCAAAAGAUAUGCUCAUUUGAAGUUGACUAAAGCAACAUUCUUAUCAAAAACUCAAUCGGUAAAGAAUAUUUUGAUCCGUCUAAUAGCUGGAAGUUAUUUGAGGCCUUAAUAUACAUCAAACUUACUCAUAACACUACCAAAAAACUAUAAUGUACUGUCUACGGGCUUGAAGCAUGAAACUAACAUUAGUUUAGUUUUUUGGGGUAUUACAACUAAAUUCUCCCACAUUGGUGGGAGAAAGAAACUCUCAUAUGUUUAUAUGAGAAACACAUCUCUACUUGGAUAGAGCGACAAGAACAAAAAGGUGCCUCAUGCCAUCAUCGUCGUCUCUCGCUCGGCUCGGCUUCGGAUUUGGAUUUGUCAAUUGAUAAAUAAGAUGAAUUUUUUAGAUAAAUUUUAUUUGAUACUUGAAAAACAAGUGAAAUUUAAUCCAAAGAAUCCAAUAGAAUGUUUUUCUCUAUAUGCGGGCGUAUUUCGUACGCCAUGCAAAUGCAUGCACAAUGCACCUCGAAGGGAUGCGACCCUUUGAGGUAAGAGGCACAUUAUUUCGCGUAGAAAAGUGAUCUGCACGCGCACCUGGCAACCUGUGGACGCAGGUGUAGCGCAGAAGCUACUAGAAUCUGCACAAUGUCACCUGCAAUUGCAGGUCAGGCGCAAUACCAGCACAUACUGGGCACAGGUGACGUGACUAUACAAAAAAUAUUCCUUUUUCCUGAACCAAUGCUUCCUUUUGGAAGGGACACCUUAUGGCUAUAAAUACUUGAUGUAUUCCUCAGGUAUACAAAUGAUUUUUUUCCAGCUAAAAACACUUCUUGUCUUCUAAAACUCUGUGUGAUCAUCUCCCGUCGAGUGAGUUCAAAGAAUCCGAUAGUUUUAGUUACCACUACUAUCGGAUUGUAAGCCAUCUUAUCCUGGGAGGAAAAUUCCACAACCUCAGGUACUUGAGGGGAAUUAUUUCCUUAAGGACACUCUGUGAAUUUGGGGGACUUGGCUUUAAUUUCUAUUUCAUCUUAUUUCUUAAUAGAAACACACUUCUAGUGAAAGAUCAAUUUUGAUCUUGUGUUGAAGGUGUUGAAACUUCUAGUUGUUCUUGAAUAGUUAUUCUUGAACUUGUGUUAAAGUUUAGUGUAUAAACUUACAGAUUUUCUGCACCUAAAACAACAGUACCUUGUUUAGUUUGAAAGGCAACUGAACCCUUCUACUGCUACACCAUUUCCCAUCCUAACUUUAGCUUUGAGUGACUUGUCAAGUGUAUAAAACAUAAGCUCAUUAUAUGACAUAUGACUCACACCCACUAUCUAGGAACCAUUUGGAUUGGUUGGUUAUGUUUUCUUCAUGAGUAGCCAUAAAUAAGCUUUCUUCCUUUUCUGACUCUUCAGUAAAAUUUGCUUGCUGAACAUGGUGUUGUUGUGGUUGAUUCUGCUUGGCCCUGUAAUUCUUCUCAAUAUGACCCAUUUUUCUAUAAAAUCUGCAUUGAAUUAAUGGCUUUCUUUUGAAUCAACAAUAUUUUACAGUUGACGCAAAGUAGAAACUUUCCUUUUGUGAAGAUUCUAUCUAUGACUUUCUCUUUGCUGCUUUAUCUCCUUUUAUCCUUCUAUUGUCCUUCACAGGUUGCUUGCCUUUGUGCUUUUCUUGAAAUGCCAUUUCUUCUACUUCUUCAUCUCUUAUACUUGUUCUUUGCUCUUGGGCUUGCAACUUGCUAAUCGGCUUUGAGACGGAUAAAGUCUUCAAAUCACAAGAUUCUGCUAUUGCUGAAAUCUUGGACUCGAACCUUGCUUGUAAGCUUAUCAUCAUCUUCUCCACCACUUUUGAAUCUAGAAAAGUCUCACCAAAUAAUCUUAUCUUGUUUACAAUUUUCAGAAGUUUGGCAGAGUACUCUUUCAUAGUAUCUCCUCUUUUCAUCCUUAACAUCUCAAAUUUUAUUUUGAGAGUUAAGAGUUUGACAGUCUUCACUCUGUCACUUCCAUCUAACUUUUCUUUUAGCUUCUCCUAUGCUUCUUUAGGUGUUUCACAAUCCAUUAUUCUUGUGAAAAUCACAUCUAAAAGUGCUGAAUGAAGACAAGUUAGAGCCUUUGGUUUCUUGGACUUCGCAUCUUCGUAAUUCUUCAUUUGUGUAACAGUUGGAUGUGGUCCAAGUGGAGGGGGGUCAUUUUCACUUUCAACUGCUUCCUAUAGACUUAGAGCUUUGAGAUAAGCCUUCAUCUUGAUCAUCCAUAUGUGAUAAUUUUCUCCUGUAAACAUAGGAGGGCCUGUACCCAAGAAGCUGUUGGAUGUCAUGUUACUGUCGUUCAACUCUCUUGGCUUAGAAGAACUGAAAGAAAAGAACUUAUCUUUAAGCCUUCACAGAUCCCUCAAGAAGAAUGACUCUUGAUACCACUGUUAGAAUUUGGAACUAAGGAGAAGGAAAAGAUAAGGGUAGCAGUUGCUUUCUUCAUUCAUACAUCAUACCAACAUCUUACAAAAGACUCCAAUUAUAGCUACAUAAGUCUUACAAGACACACUUCACAUAGUAUCUUACAAGACACACUUCACAAAAUAAGGAUUACCAUUUAUUUUUAAAAAAACUAAACAUAAUAUUAAAAGAAACUAUUAAACAAAAGACUAUCUAGAAAAACUCAUAUUCUAACACUUCAAGAUCAUAAAGGCCUACCAUUAAAUCAAUGACAUGGCUAUUGAAAUCGUGACAUCAACAUGUAGGUUCCAAAUCCAAGUGGUAGUAUCAUACCUCGAGAGUGACUUCAUUUCACACUAUCAAUACUGGAUUACCUGUUAGCUGCCUCGCCAGUUCAGAAUUCGAACACAAAAUGGCCAAAGAAUCAAUGAGUAAUAAUAUAACUUCUACUGGCAAAAGAACUUAUCUUUUCCUCUUGGUAAAGAAUCUCCACUUCGAGUUCGACAAAGUGAAACAAUCGAUUGGAUCAUUCAAAUCAAAUAGCAUUUAUCUACGGUUAAGUCACAUACUUAGGCGUAAAUGUUUGGCUCUUAUGUUGUUUAACUCUAUGGGUCAUCCUUUGUACGCUUAAGCUAGCAUUUUUGAAUGCUUCAAUGUAUUCAAAAAAACCUUGGAACAAUUUACUUGCAUCCAAAUAGAUAGAUAAUUAGGCUAGCUAGUGAUGUGUUUUGAACUCUUUUUGUGAAAAAUAUUUAUGGUAUAGUAUUUGGUGACCGAAUCAAAAGUGCUGCUAAUAUGUUGAACCGAUGAGAAAACCGAAGUCGGUAAAAACCAUCAGAUGCAACUCUGAUGAAGCAAAAGAAAUUGACAGAUGAAGAGAACAGGGUUACCAUAUACUUAGUCAAAAAUUUUCUUUAACUAUGCAAAAUUAAAUGUUAGAUUCAAUGAAGAAAAUAGAGAAUCCAGAAGCACACACAAGCACACAGAGCACAAGGUAUUCACCGGUAAAAUAUGUUGUUCACAGAAGCCAUACUAUGAAGAGGCGGACUUAGGCAGGAGGCUAGAGAAGAUGAAAGAGAAAACAGCAGUAGAAGAUGAGAAUGAACAACGAUCACAAUAGCUGUAAAAAGAUUGACAGAACAAUAAUACAUUCUUCUCUGUUUACAAUCUUCUUCUAAACUUCAUCUUGUUAGGUCGAUAUCUUGAGAUUAAAAAAAUGAAAAAAGUAAUAAUAUGGGAACAAGCGUCCAUGGCCUGCUUCGCAUAAUUGAAACAAUUGACACGAGCUUUUGAAAUAAUAUAUGUCAAUGAACUUUCUUGGUAAAAAAUCGUAGUAUUUGGAGGGGAUUUUCAUCAAGUACUACAAGAUGUCCCAACUCUUACAAGAACAGAAAUGUUUAAUGCAAUUUUGUCAAAAACACAUUCUUGACCUUUAAUAGAAACAAGUUUAAAGAGAAAAAAAGUAAGAGGGCAAAGCAAAAUCAAAUUGCAGCAACCUUUUCCAACAAAUAAUUGUCAAAAACAACUAACAUCUAUUAGAAGUACUUCUUUCUUUUAUUGGGUAAAAGAACAUAAUAUUACAGAAUACAAGAGUCACUAUGGACUGUACAAGCAAUAAAUGACAUAAAGAACAAAUUAAAAUUUUGGCAGUCACUGCAAAACCACAAACCAACAAUUGACAACUUAAAGUUUGAUAGAGUCAACAACCAUGCCAAUAAUGUGAGGUUUUAACACUUUCUCAGGAUGAGUGUAUCCAUCUUCGUUGUGUUUAUAUGUAACAUCCACAAGCCGAGCAAGAUUGAGAAUACGAGAUAAAAACUCCAUAGCGAUAGGAGUGGGCCUAAGCAUUCCUUCAUUAAUAUCCUUCCAUCCUGACUCUCCCAUUUCUUGAAAUUUAGCCAUUGCAUCUUUUGUUGAUACACUAUAGUCUCUCAUGUAGCACUCAAUUCCUGUUGAAAGUUGUCCCCUAUUUUUCUCAACCUGGAAAGGCAGUUAGAUUAGGGGUUAGCUUUAAUAUUGCUUCAAUUGUGGACAGAACAUUCUAUUUGUUCAAAUAUCAUAUGAUGUUAAAACUUUAUGAGAUACAACUCAUAGUAAAUACCUCGUAUGUGGCUAUGUCAUCAAUAACUCGGCAUAUUGCCACACAACCUUCAAGAAUUUUAGGAUUUUUUGACAGCCACUCAAAUUCUUGCUCUUUUGCAUCCGUCAUGCCCAAAUACGAUGUUGUGGCAAGGAAGUAGUAAGUGGUAGUUACAAAUGCAUUGCGUAGGUAUUCAGAAGCAGGUGGCAUAUGCCCUUCAAUAAACCAUUUUGCCUCAAUAUUAUAACUUUUUAUCAGUUCUUUCAUCUGUGAACACCAAGCAUAUGAAUUCAAAGUGUUAAAAGAAUUUUAACUUGAGUGCUUCUGUUUAUAUUCACAAAAAGAAGUUAGGAAAAAGGAAAGUCAGAAAUGUAUUAUGGAAAAAAGUAAAUUGAUAGUUAGGUCGAUGAGACUCACUCUUUCUUUUGCAUAACAGACAACAUGAGAUCUUCCAUCACUAGACAUUUCCUUUUCAUAAUCCUCAUAAAGAUCUAGAAUAGCUUUAUAACUGAUUUUCAUGUAAUCAGGGAGAUGAUCAAUUUCGUUAAUAUCCCAUCUGUUAGGUGACAAAAUUAAGGUGAAUUUAAGCAAUUUAAAAUAGCAUAAAUAUAAUGAACAAAGCUUGGUUUGGUCUUUUCAUGAUAUUCACUUUCAAGGUACAUCUGAUUAAGUGAAUCGUUGAAGUCCAUACCUUUGUAUGACAUCCGUGUAUGUGGCAAGUUCUUCAGUAGUACCAUAAGCAUCGUAGGUGUCAUCCACAAUCGAAAUCAUUGCUAUGGUCUUAACGAGCAUGACACGAGCUUGAGAAUAUUGAGGCUCAUAAUAUACUCCUAAUGCCCAAAAGUAGCAUUCAACUACUCUAUCUCUAGCAUAUGGAAGUGUGUUCACAAAAUUCAAAUCUUUCCACCACCUGCAGCAUAACAAAUUAACAUUAGCUCCUGAUAAAUGAUCAACCAAAAGGUUUUACCGUAUUUAGUUAUAUAUUCCCACCUUGAUACUUCAGCAAGUUCUUGUUUGUGCAACAUUUGGAGCAAGUUGUAAUCCAACUUGGCAAAUCGAAGUAACACAUCACUCUUUGUUUCCUGUUUCUCGUAGAUUGAUGCGAUGAAGAAUCGAAUCUCAAUUCGAGGAAUACCUUUGUGCAAGGAUUGCUCAAGGGCAUGCGUCACUUGCUCCUUAAGAGGAGAGUUCAAAUGUGGAGCUGCGGACUGAAGAUGAGUAGUGGAGAAAGCAAGUGCAUCUUCUAAGAUGUCUUCACCAUGAAUCCUUACAUGUGAAGCUUCAUACAAACUCAAUAAUCCCAAGACAUCACUAGCAAGAGACUCCUUGAGUUUGCCAUCUCCAUUAAGGAAUUUGGUGAAAAUUUCUAAUUUUCAAGGAAGAAUACACAAUAUUAGCCUCCGUAUCAAAUGGAUGAUAUAUCUAUAUAUAUAAUUACAACGAUAUUGAAUUUAUAGUACUUCAAGAGGUACUUACUUAGGGAGAUUUUGUAACCAUGUUGCCUAAGCAAUCGAAAUUGAAGAGCACAAGUGCAUAGAUCAUCAUUAUUGUCAUUGCUCUCAAAGUUUGAAUUUUCUUUGUAAAUCUGAUUCAAAAUCUCAUUGAUUUCUUUCUCAAAGUGAUAGGCAAUGCCAAGGCGUUCAAUAACAUCAAUCAAAUUCAACGUCUCAGCCAAUUUCCUUCCGGUAGCUAACAAAAUACUCCUUGUUUCUUCCUUCAACACUUCAAUCUCUUGAGCAUACCUUUGUUCAACCUAUAAAUAUAUUCAAAAACCAAAAGAAAUCAAACUACAUUGUCUAAUAAAAGCAAAGAAGGUACUAUGAAGAAAAGAUGACGAAUAUUAAUUAAUUACCUGGUUGUCGAUGGAGAAAGAAAGAAAACGAUCACCCCAUAGACUUGGAGAAAAGUCGGCAACGGGGCGAAUGAUCUCUUCUGCAAUAUGUUUCACAACAUUAUUUCCAACUACAACUGAGGUCAUUGUUGCAACAAAUAAUAAGUGUGUUUUGGGUUUUUCGAAGUAAGAAUGAAAGAAACUCUCAAGUUGAUGAGAUAACUGGUAGACAAUGGACAAGUAUUUAUAAUAGUGAGAGACGCCACCAACUUUGAAAACUGAAAGAGUGGAGUGAUUUUACACCACACUUGGAAUUUGUUUCCUUAAAAAACAGAAUGAGCUUCAAUAUUUUAAUCUUUUCCUAUCAGUUGCCUCACUUGACCUUAUACAGGAACAUAGUCAAAAAGACGGUGUGUUUGCCAUUUAGGGAGUUGAUACAACUUCUUGUUGUUCAAGCUUGGCCAAAGAGUCUGAAGUUGCGACAUUACUGCUUAGGUACAACUCCCUCAUUUAUUUUUAUUUGUCACAUUUCACUUUAUGAAAAAUCAACUUAACUAAACUUCAAAGCUAAACUGAUGUGUAUUAAUUUAAUAUUUAAAAUUUAAAAUUUAGAUGUUCAAUAACUAUAUAAAAAAUGUUAUAAGUUGCAAUCUUUCUCAUAUUAAUAUAUAUGAUAAAAAAAUACAUUUUAAAAUGUUAGUCAAAAUUUUAUGCAGCGCAGUUUAACUAUCAAUUAGCGAAAGGUGACAAGUAAAAAUCAAUGGAAAGAGUAUAUAACAUAUGUUUGAUUUUAUAUAUAAUUGACAAACUUGGAACAACUUUGGAUGUUCACAAGUAGACACUUAAACUUGUAUAAAGUUCAACAGAUAAAAAUACAGUGUCUACUUGUGCAUACCCAAAGUUGGAGGUCAUGGAUGUGAUCUGAGCCCAAGUUAAGGGUAUGUUUAUAUAUUUAUCUCCAAUUUUAAUACCUUCAAGAAAGAUUUUGGAAAAAGAGCACUAUUUUCAUUUGGUUAAUUAUUUUAGUGAAAUUAGCUAUCUCCGAAUUAUUAUCCUACGCGGAACGAGAUAUGAAAAUAAUAAUCAACAUAAGUCAAAAUUGCUUCAACUUAGUAGGACCAAUUGAAUUCCAAGUUGGCAACUUAGACUUCAAGCCGCCGCUGAAUUAUUUUUUUAUAUGCAUAUUUUGACUAGUGAACAAACUAUUAUUAUACUAUUUGAUUUCAUUAUUUCCAUUAUAUAAGAGCACAUACAACAUAACUAUGAAGAAUCACCAAACAUAUUACUAACUCUCCCAAAAUGCAAUUCUUCAGCUUGGCUUCCAUUUUCCUUUUUCUAUUUUCCCUCUUUUUGUUAAGGAAAUGGAAGAACUCAAAUAGCCAAACCAAAAAAUUGCCUCCAGGUCCAUGGAAACUUCCUUUUAUAGGAAGCAUGCAUCACAUGGCUGGUGGACUUCCACACCGCGUUCUUAGAGAUUUAGCCAAAAAAUAUGGACCGCUCAUGCAUCUUCAGCUUGGUGAAGUUUCUGCAGUUGUUGUAACUUCUUCUGAGUUGGCUAAACAAAUACUAAAAACUCAUGACCUCGCAUUUGCAUCUAGGCCUAAACUCUCGGCCAUGGAUAUUAUCUGUUAUGAUAGCCGCGACAUUGUCUUUAGCCCCUACGGUGAGUGUUAGGCGAUUGACCUAAAUUUUCAUGGAUUUUGCUUCUUUUUUUUACUGAAUGACAAAACAUUUUCCAUAACUGGUUUGCUUUCCUAAAAGAUGUAUAAUCUAUACAUAUGUAUAUCUUCCAUAUAACUUGAGGAUUUUUCCUUCUCAAUUUAUGACAUCCACAAUAUAAUUCUUAAAGGAGUCUUGUUUAGGAGGAGAACAUAAACCACAAUUUUUCAUAUAGAUGUAGGUAAUUAAUAUAACAAAAUAGUUAAUGUAACAAACCAUGUUACAUUGUUAUUUAUCUUCUGAUAUAUUUCUCUUCAUCGUCUUGCUUAUGAUCAUCCAAGAAUUGUUCUGUUAGGCUUUGCAUGACACCUGACAAUUUCUAUCUUAACAGGUGAGUAUUGGAGACAAAUGCGUAAAAUUUGUGUCAUGGAACUACUGAGUGCAAAGAAUGUCCGGUCAUUUAGCUCAAUCAGACAUGAGGAAGUUAAUCGUCUCAUUGAAUCUAUCCGAUCAUCUUCAUCUUCUGGUGACCUAAUUAAUUUUACAGAAAGGGUCAUUUGGUUCACAAGCAGCAUGAUAUGUAGAUCAGCAUUUGGGCAAGUCCUAAAAGAGCAAGACGAAUUUAUAAAACUAAUUGGAGAAGUGGUAAGCUUAGCAGGAGGCUUUGAUGUGGCUGACAUCUUCCCUUCAUACAAGUUUCUUCAUUCUCUCAGUCCAGCAAAGCAAACACUUCUAGAUGCUCACCGUAAAGUAGAUGCAAUUGUUGAGGAUGUCAUUAACGAGCACAAGAAGAAUCUCGAAAAUCACAACAGUGAUGAUGCAUUAGGAGGUGAAGACCUAGUUGAUGUCCUACUAAGACUUAUGAAGGAUAGAAAUCUUCAGUUCCCCAUCACCAACGAUAAUAUCAAAGCUAUUAUUGUUGUAAGUAUUGAAUAUUAUGCUUGUUCUCACUUAUUUAACCAUAUAGUACUUCCAUAUCCAUUGCCAUAUAUUCAUAAAAAGAUUAAUUACAAAGAAUUUCUGGUCAGUAAUACAAAUCUAAUUUGAUGUGUAAUUAAGAGAUUUGCAAAAACUUUGUUGUAAAACUCAGUCACUAAAGAAAAGUUAGUUCAGGAAAGACCAUGUGCAACAGUCAUAAUAACUUGGCUAUAAAUUGCAGGACAUGUUUGCUGCGGGAACAGAAACUUCAUCAACAACAACUGUAUGGGCUAUGGUUGAAAUGAUGAAAAAUCCAAGCAUACUCGCCAAAGCACAAGCAGAAGUGCGAGAAGCCUUCAGAGACAAAGCAACAUUCGAUAACAUUGAUGUGGAGGAGCUGAAAUACUUAAAGUUAGUUGUUAAAGAAACUAUGAGAUUUCAUGCACCAGUUCCACUUUUGGUCCCUAGAGAAUGUAGAGAAGAGACUAACAUAAACGGCUACACUAUUCCAGUGAAGACCAAAGUCAUGGUUAACGUUUGGGCACUGGGAAGAGAUCCAAACUAUUGGGAUGAUGUAGAAAGCUUUAAGCCAGAGAGGUUCGAGCAGUGCUCUGUGGACUUUGUUGGUAAUAAUUUUGAAUAUCUCCCCUUUGGCAGCGGGAGGAGGAUGUGUCCCGGGAUGUCAUUUGGUUUAGCUAAUGUUUAUUUGCCGUUGGCUCAAUUGCUUUAUCACUUUGAUUGGAAACUCCCUACUGGAAUGGAGCCAAGAGACUUGGAUGUGACUGAAUCAAGUGGAGCCACUGCCACCAGAAAAAAUGACCUUUAUUUGAUUGCCACUCCUUAUCAACCUUAAUGAAAUCAACUUUUUAAAGUUCCUUUUAUUAUAGUGAGGUGUUUGAAAUAAAAAAGUGCUAUUUCUUUUAAUAUAUUGUAGUCUUCUGAGAUUAUCAAGUGUUAAAUUUCUCACUAGAAUGAUUUUGUAUGACACAUUUCGUGUAUUAUAUUUUCCAUUCUUAAAAAUCUUGGUGUCUUAAUACCCUCUUGUUCUUUUUAUUUAUGCUGAUUAUUGUUUCUGUACAUAUUAUUUUGUAAAGGUGAUAUUAUAGCCAUUACAAAGAAUGGUCCAUUGUCGUUUUAGUGCCCCCAUCUCACAAAAGAAAAUUAUGAGAAAUGGCGUCUAUGUAUGAAAGUCAUUCUUGGCUCUUCUUGGCUCUUAAGAUCUGUGGAAACUUGUAUUCAAAAUAAAAGAUGUCUUGACAAAUACAAGGAAGUAAACUUCUGCGAUAUGGAGGCAUGACCUUGCUAUAGCAAGAAAAAAAGGAUUUACAACAUCUCAACCUGCACAGUGGGCUAGUCCAUUCUGUAUUCAAAAAGUUUGGCUACAUCUGGAAAAUAAGAGUAUAACAAAACUGUGUAACCUAAAGUUGCUCCUCUCCAAUAAACAAAAGUACAAUUAAGACACGAGAGGAAUCAACUACUGAGAAUAACAGGUUAGGAAAAGUGUUGAUAGAGCAUCAGCUGUUUGGUUUCCUUCCCUAUAACAGUGUUGAAAGAGAACUCCUUGACGGUUGGAAUAUGAAUUGAGUCUUUCAUGACUUGGCAUAGAUGCCAUGGUGGUUUGGUUCUCUCCUUAAGCAUAUCAAUAAUCAACAUAGAGUGGCUUUCCACAAUGAUGCUGUGCAUCGAGUUUGCUUGGCACCAUUUGAGAGCAUAAAGUAACCUCUGCCUAGCACAAUAAUUUGAUCCCUGAGGGAUCUGCUUUGGAAAGGCCAUUAUCAAAGAUCCCUAAGAAUUCCUCCUGCUCCAGUUUUUCCAUUGGCUUGUAAAUUUCCGUUAGUAUUAAACUUGAGCCAACCCGGUUGAGAUUUAUGCCACUUAACCAAAACCGUGGUAAUUCUAGGGACAGCACUAUGUAUUUUGUUGCAAUUUUCCAGCCAAGAAUUGCAUAUUGGGAAGCCGUCAGCUAGUUUUACUCAAUGCCCAUCGCAAAUAUGACAUUGAAAAAAUGGACUAAAUGAAUUACCCCCAUAUCGUGACGCUGGCUUGCUUUCCAAAGUUCCCAACAAACAACUAGAAUGAUUUUGAGCAUUUCUCUUAGAAUAUGAAGUUUUUCUAGAUAGUGUUUUGUUUAAUAGUUUCUUUUAAAAUAUUAUGUUCAGCUUUUUAAAUGAAUGACAAUCCUUAUUUUGGGGAAUGUGUCUUUUGAGAAAGUGGUUGGAAGAUAUGGUCCUCUACCAACUUUGUAAGGCUUAUGUAGCACUAUGUUUGUGGUCUUUUUGUAAUAUGUAUAUAUGAAUGAAAAAGCCACUGUUGAUCCUUAUAUUUUUCCUUCUCUUUAGUUUUAAAUUCUAACAGUGUCAAGAGCCAUUCUUUUUGAGGGAUUUGUGAAGGCUUAAAGAUAAGUUUUUUCUUCAGUUCUUCUAAGCUGAGAGAGUUGAGUAGCAGCAACAUGGAAUCCAGCACCUUCUUGGGUUCAGGUCCUCCUAUGUUAACAGGAGAAAAUUAUCACAUAUGGGUGAUAAAGAUGAAUGCUUAUCUCAAAGCUCUUAGUCUAUGGGAAGCAUUUGAAAGAGAAACUGAUACCCCUCCACUUGGACCAAAUCCAACCGUUUACACAAAUAAAGAAUUAUGAAGAUGCAAAGUCCAAGAAACCAAAGGCUCUCACAUGUCUUCAUUCAACACUUUCAGAUGUGAUUUUCACAAGAAUAGUGGCACGUGAAACACCUAACGAAGCAUGGGAGAAGCUAAAAGAGGAGUUCGACUGAAGUGACAGAGUGAAAACUAUCAAACUCUUAACUCUCAAAAGAGAAUUUCAGAUGUUGAGGAUGAAAGAAGGAGAUACUGUGAAAGGGUACUCUGCCAAACUUUUGGAAAUCGUAAACAAGAUAAGAUUAUUUAGUGAAACUUUUCCAAAUUCAAAGGUGGUGGAGAAGAUGAUGAUAAGCUUACCAGCAAGGUUCGAGCCCAAGAUUUCAGCAAUAGAGAAAUCUUGUGAUCUGAUUAGAAUUUGGAGCUAAAGAGAAGGAAAAAAGAUAUGGAGCAAUGGUAGCUUUUUCAUUCAUUCAUGCAUACAUACCAACAUCUUACAAAAGACUACACUUAUAGCUACAUAAGUCUUGCAAGACACAUUUCACAUAUUAUCUUACAAGACACGCUAUCUUACAAGAUACACUUCACAAAAUAAGGACUACCAUUUAUUUUAAAAAAAACAAACAAACAAAAUAUUAAAAGAAACUAUUAAACAAAAGACUAUCUAGAAAAAUCUCAUAGUCUAACACUCCUUCUUGAGAUUUUUCUUGGAUACUCCCAGCUUAGCCCUUAGAACUUCAAAUUUCCACUUAGGAAGAGCCUUGGUCAAAAUGUCUGCAAUCUGCUGAUCGGAGAAUCAAUGAACAAGAUUAACUUCGCCAUCCUUCUCUUUUUGCCUGAUAGCGUGAAACUUCACAUUUAUAUGCUUGCUAAGACCAUGUUGCACUGGAUUUUUGGUCAUAGAAAUUGCUGACUUGUUUUCAACCUUUAUGACAGUAGCUUCAAUUUGAUUUUGCUCUAGAUCACAUAGAUUUUUUUGUAAACAUAGAGCCUGAUUAGUUUCACCAGCAGCAACGAUGUAUUCUGCUUCUCCAGAUGAUUGAGCAACCACAUCUUGCUUCAUUGAAUUCCAUGAGAACAUGCCUGAACCAAGUGUAAAAGAAUAUCCAGAAGUGCUUUUCAUAUCAUCAACACUUCCUUCCCAAUCACUAUCUCAUAACCCAUCAAUUGCCCUUACUUUUCCCUUUUAAACCAAAUACCAUAAUCAAUAGUCCCCUUGAUAUACCUCAAUGUUUGUUUAGCAAUACAAAGAUAAACUUGACUUGGAGAAUGCAUAAACCUCAACAAAAACUAGUCGCGAAUAUGAGAUCAGGUCUUGUUGCUGUCAAAUAUAGUAAACUACCAAUUAGACUCCUAUAAACUGUUGGAUCAGCCCUAUCACUUACUUUAUACUUUGAGAUCUUCUUAUUAUGAACUAGUGGAGUCGAUAUAAGCUUACACCUCUCCAUAUUGAACUUCUUAAGAAUAUCCCAUGCAUAUCUUCUCUGGGAAAUGAGGAUUCCAUCAGUAUCUUGAUGAGUCUCCAUUCCUAGAAAGUAAUUCAUUUUACCCCAUUCUGACAUAUCAAAUUUGGUCUCCAUUUCUUUCUUGAAUUGAUUCACCAUAGCUUCAUUAUUUUUGGUUGCCAGAAGAUCAUCAAUAUAGAGUGAUACCACAAGCACAUCUCCAUAUUUAGCCUUUUUCACAUACAAAGUGGCAUUAUUUUCACUUCUUAUGAAGCCACAGUGAAUGAGAUGAUCAUCGAUCUUAUUGUACCAUGCUCGAGGAGCUUGUUUUAAUCCAUACAAUGCCUUAUGUAAUCUAUAAACUUUAUCCUUCAUUCCUGCAACUUGAAAGCCUUCUAGUUGGUUGACAUAAAUUUAUUCCUGCAAUGGUCCAUUUAAGAAUGCCAACUUCACAUCCAGAUGAUACAACUUCCAAUUUUAUUGAGAUACCAAAGCAAAUAGAAGUCGUAUCACAUCAUGUCUUGCAAUAGGUGCAAAUGUGUCUCCAUAAUACAAACCUACAACUUACGCGUAACCUCUCAUAACAAGCCUUGCUUUGUAUUUAUUAACUGAACCAUCUGGAUUAAGUUUGAUUCUAUAAAACCAUUUCACCCCUAUUAUAUUUCUGUCUUUGGGUUGAUCAAUCAAAUUCCAAGUAUCAUUCUUCUUUAUCAUACCAAUCCCCUCCUUCAUGGCUUUAAUCCAAACUUUAUGUUUUGAUGCUUCUUGAUAGAUAUUGGGUUCCAAGAUUGCAAUAUUGCAUCUUUCAUAUAUCUCAGAAAGGGACCUUGUAUUCAAAAUUGGCGAAUCAAGUGAGGAUUCACCAUCUGAAUCUUCAGCUUCUUCCAGAUUUUCAGAGCUAAAUGAUUGUGUUUUAGGUAGCGGUUGCAAGUUUAGAUAACCUACAUUUUAUUUCUUAACUUGCUCCAUAUCCCAAUUCCAAUAAGCCUGCUCAUCCACUACUUCAUCUCUUCUAAUAGAAGUAUUUUUUAUUUGGAAGUUGAAAACUCUAUAACCCUAGGCUUGCGAUGAAGAACCAAUAAAGAUCCCUAAUUCACCUUUCGAUUCAAAUUUGCUUUUUCUGAAGAAACAUGAGAAUAGCAUAUUAAACCAAAGAUUUUUAGGUGCUUGGCAUAUGGUCUUUUUCUACUCCAUGCCUUAAUAAGAGUUUUAUCACCCACAACUUUAGUUGGCAUCCUAUUCAACAAAUAAACUGAAGUAGAAACAAAUUCUUUCCAAAAACUUUGCGGUAGUUUCUUUUCAAGCAACAAACAUCUAGACAUUUCAACUAUCGUCAUGUUCUUCCUCUCUGAAAUUCUAUUUUUUUCUGGUGAAUAACUUACUGUCAACUUGUGAUCAAUCCUUGCAUCUUCACAAUACUUAUUGAACUCAUUUGAAGUGUAUUCACUUCCAUUGUCUUACCUCAAAGCCUUUAGCUUACAACCACUCCGUCUUUCAACAAAAGCUUUAAACUUCUUGAAAAUUGAUAAUACUUAAGACAUGUUACUUAAAAAAUACACCCAAGUCAUCUUUGUUAAGUCAUCAAUAAACAACACAAAAUAUUUGUUUUGACCCAAGGAUGAUGUCUUCGUAGGUCCACAUACAUCAGUGUGAACAAGUUCAAGUUUUUCAGUUGCCCUCCAAGUAGAACUUUUAGGAAAUGAUUUCCUGUGAACCUUACCUAUCUAAUAUGACCUACAAACUUAUUUAGAUAGUGAGAUCUUAGGUAUAUCCUUAGUCAAACUUUUCUCAUACAUAGAUUUCAAAGUAGCAUAGUUAAAGUGCCCAUAUCUUCUGUUACAUAACCAUGAAUUAUACAAUCUUACAAAAUUAGAACUAUCAAACUUUUCAUCUGCUGGAAAGAUCCUAUCCACCAUUUCUACUUUUUCAAUCAAAAUAUCAUCAGUAUCAAAAAUCAAAUAAUGCUUCCCCUUACAAAGUAAGGAGUAACCUUUAGACAUUAUUUAGCCAACACUCAAUAGGUUACAUGCUAAAAAAGAAACAUACAAUACAUCAUGUAUAAGCUUUGUACCUUGUUUAGUUUGAAAGGUACCCUUUCCAUGUGCUUCUAUUAUUGCACCAUUUCCCAUCCUAACUUUAGCUUUAAGUGACUUGAAAAGUGUGUGAAACAUGAGCUCAUUAUAUGACAUAUGAUUCAUGUACCCACUGUCUAGGAACCAUCUGGAUUGGUAGGCUGUGUUUUCUUCAUGAGUAGCGAUAAACAAGCUUUCUUCCUUUUCUGAAUCUUCAGUGAAGUUUGCCAGCUGGACAUGGUAUUGUUGUGGUUGAUUUUGCUUGGCCCUGCAAUUCUUCUCAAUAUGACCUAUUUUUCUAAAAAAUUUGCACUGAAUUGAUGGAUUUCCUUUGAACCAACAAUGCUUUUCUUGAUGGUUGGUUCUUUUACAGUGGAUGCAAGGUGGAAACUUUCCUUUCUGUCAAGAUUCCAUCCAUGGAUUUCUCUUUGUUGGUUUAUCUCCUUCUAUCCUCCUAUUGUCCUUCACAGGUUGUUUGCCUUUGUGCUUUUCUUGAAAUGCCACUUUUGCUACUUCUUCAUCUCUUAUACUUGUUCUUUGUUCUUGGGCUUGCAACUUGCUAAUUAGCUCUGCAACGGAUAAAUUCUUCAAAUCACAAGAUUCAUCUAUUGAUAAAAUCUUGGACACGAACCUUGCUGGUAGGAUUAUCAUCACCUUCUCCACCACCUUUGAAUUUGGAAAAUUUUCACCAAAUAAUCUUAUCUUGUUUACAAUUUCCAGAAGUUUAGCAAAGUACUCUUUUACAGUAUCUAAUCCUUUCAUCCUUAACAUCUCAAAUUCUCUUUUGAGUGUUAAGGGUUUGACAGUUUUCACUUUGUCACUUCCAUCAAACUCCUCUUUUAGAUUCUCUCAUGCUUUUUUAGGUGUUUGACAAGCCAUUAUUCUUGUGAAAAUCACAUCUGAAAGUGCUGAAUGAAGACAAGUGAGAGCUUUUGGUUUCUUGGACUUUGCAACUUCAUAAUACUUUAUUUGUGCAAUAGUUGGAUUUUGUCCCAGUGGAGAGGGAUCAUUUUCACUUUCAACUACUUUACAUAGACUAAGAGCUUUGAGAUAAGCCUUCAUCUUUAUCACCCAUAUGUGAUAAUUUUCUCCUAUAAAUAUAGGAGGGCCUGCACCCAAGAAGUUGUUGGAUGCCAUUGUUACUGCUAUUUAGCUCUCUCAGCUUAGAUGAACUAAAUAAAAAACUUAUCUUUAAGCCUUCACAGAUCCCUCAAGAAGAGUGACUCUUAAUAUCAUUGUUAGAAUUUGGAGCUAAAGAGAAGGAAAAAAGAUAAGGAGCAGCAGUAGCUUUUUCAUUCAUUCAUACAUACAUACCAACAUCUUACAAAAGACAACACUUAUAGCUAUAUAAGUCUUUCAAGACACACUUCACAUAAUAUAUUACAAGACACACUAUAUUACAAGACACACUUCACAAAAUAAGGACUACCAUUUAUUUUAAAACAAAACUAAACAUAAUAUUUAAGAGAAACUAUUAGACAAAAGACUAUCUAGAAAAAUCUCAUAGUCUAACAGACUUUGUGCUGAUUAGCACAAAGUCAUUGCAAGCCCAAGAAUAAAGAUCAACCAUAAGAGAUGAAGAAGUAGCAUAAGUGGCAUUUUAAGCAAAGAAUAAAGGCAAGCAAAUUGUUAAGGACAAUACGAGGAUGGAAGAAGAUAAUAGCAAAGAGAAAUCCAUGGACGCAAUCUUCUCAGAAAGAAAAGUUUCCACCUUACAUGCACUGUAAAAGAACCAAUCAUCAAGAAAAAGGACUGUUGCUUCUAAGGAAAGCCAUCGAUUCAAUACAAAUCUUUUAGAAAAAUAGGUCUUUACAGGGUAAGCAGAAUCAACCACAACAACACCAUGUUCAUCAGGCAAAUUUUACUGAAGUAUAGGAAAAGAAAGAAAGCUUGUUUAUAGCUAUUCAUAAAUAAAAUGCAACCAACCAAUCCAAAUGGUUCCUUGACAAUGGAUGUAAGAGUCAUAUGUCAUAUGGUGAGCUCAUGUUUAUACACUUCACAAGUCAUUCAGAUCUAAAGUUAGGAUGGGAAAUAGUGCAACAGUAUAAACAAUCAAAAAGGUUCAGUUCCCUUUCAAACUAAACAAGGUACAAAGUUUAUACAUGAUGUGUUAUAUGUUCCUUGUUUAGCAUGUAACCUAUUGAGUGUUGGCCAAAUGAUGUCUAAAAGCUACUUAUUUUUUAAGGGAACACAUUGUUUGGUUUUUUAUUUUGAUGAUACUUUGAUUGAUAAAGUAGAAAUGGUGGAUAGGAUCUUUCUGGUAGACGAAAAGUUUGAUAGUGCCAAUUUUGCAAAUUGGACGAUUCAUGGUUAUGAAACAAAAGAUAUGGGAAUUUUAAUUGUUAGAGUGCAUACCCUACUGAUUUUAAUGUUUUACUCUAUUAGUUUCCUAUCAGUAGAACAAGUAAGCCAACGUGGUUCACUUACGUAGAGUAAAUAUGAAGACAGUAUUUUUACGUGGAAAACACUCGGCUUAAGAAAGGUGUAAAAAUCCAUGACCUGUACCUCUACAAGAUUUAACCCCAACUUCACUAAAACUCUUGAGACUCAAUAAUCAACAAAUUACAAGACUCUUGUAAACUAGGAAUUAAACUUCUGACUCCUAUUUCUACAAUAACACAAAUCUUCCCAAGAUAAGUGUUCCCAAGUCUUCAAGCUAGUAAACUGAUUUAUUGAUUGAAACUUUUUUUUAGUGCAUAAGUGAAACUCUUUUUCACAGUUUCUUCUAUUUAAUCCAACUCCUAAUGGAGUCCUUUAGAUGAUGCAGUCUUCUUUCUUUAAUAGGACUCUCAGUUAGUUUCACUCCAUGUUAUCGUUUAUCUCCUUGCUGGGUAGGACUCCUUUAUUUGAUUAAUCUUCAAGUGUCGUAUUUAUAUUUUCCUCAUUUUUCUACACAUGAUAAGUGUUGACAGUAUAACUAAUUUUUUUUGCUUAUCCACUUCUGACUUCAACCACUUUAGUUUAUCAUGCCCGUAACUAUUAUUUCUUCACUUGUAUGGACCAAUAUGCAUAACUUAUUUCAUUCAUAUAUCCGUCAUCAAAACUUCAGUUCCCUAACAAAUGCCCCUUUUUUGAUGAUGACAAACUAAGCAGCACAACAUCCAUCACAAAAUCCUGACACACUAAAAUAAAGGAAUUUAAAAAAAAAGAACAUAAAAUGAAAUAGGUUAGUCAAUUGAGUUAUAAGCAUUGCACAAUCUAUUCUUCUCCCUUUUGAUAUCAUCAAAAAGCUGGGCCAAAAAGUGAAAUUUUUAAUAAUCCAUGGCCACUGGGGCUAUCACUAAAACAAACAAAAUUCAGAGCAAAAGAACACUUAUGCAUUAAGAAAAAUAGGAACAUAACACAAUGAAGAAAGUGAGUCCAUUUCAUUUAAGAGCAAGAUAAAAAUAAAAUUACCUAAAAAAUAGCCAAAUAGAUAACAAGCUAGCCAGUGAAGAAAACAAAAAGAACAGACUUAAAGGACUAAGGAGGCAACUAAGUAAAGGAAGCAGAGGGAAUAAGGUUAGUAAACUUUUGCACGAUUUCAUUAUUUGUGGCUCUUUAACUCUCAUGAUCAAUGGUGGCUUGAAGAGAAAUAAUCUGAGCUUGAAGUGCCUAUUUUUCAGCAUCAUGAGUUGCUUGAGAAGCUCCAGUUCAGCAUGAGCAACCUCCAAUUUGGCAGUCUUAGCAGCAAGAGCAUUAUGUAACGGUUGCGCAGGGUUAUCAGCACUCCUCGUAGAAACAGGUAACUCCAUAUGGUUCACAAUCCCAAUGACAUCCUUAGUGGUUUGCAGAGACCACACUUUAACAGGCACGUUGAAGUCUUAAAAAAUAAGAGUAAGCCAGAACUUAUAUGGCAGGGCAUGGCUAUUCACAUCUUAAAGUAUGACCCAUUACAUGCGCUGAAUCAUAAGUUGAGGAAGGUCAAUCUGUACUUCAGUGUCAAGUAAUUCAUGAGAGUAAGAUCAAGGAAAUUGCCAUAGUCCUUCGUUCUUUUCGAGGAAGAAGUAUCUUAGACUACAUCAAAGUAAACUGAUAGAGUGGGGACAUCUCUCAAUUAAGAACUCUGUGAUGAGUGACAAGAUGAGGAUUUCUGGAAAAUUUGCGAGAUAUAUCAAGGGAAGAUGCCAGAUUAUCAAGCAGAGGCUAUAUGACUUUGACAUAAUGACCCCAACCCCCUAUAGGAAUGUACAAGAUUCAAGCAAGAUCAAUAGCAAAGAGAUUAAUGGUGAUCCCAUGAACAGCGAUUGAGAAUAUUUCCCCAAUAGCUACCCCAUUAGUAUAGAACUUAUAAAAUUCAUCUUUUCCAAACUUACAUAGGAGAUCACCUUGAAGAACCAAGUGUGACCACCCCUGACCUCCAAUUUAGAUACCAAGACAGCCAUCUUAGGUCCCCAAAACCAGUGAAAACAUGUUCUCUAGCUAACUUGCAUUUUUUAAAGUGAAUAAUAUGAGCCAAAUGAGAGGCACGGUUAGUAGAAGUAUCCUUAUCAAUAUUAAAAUCGAGAUCUAGCUCAGUAGAGAGAGCAAGAAGAGUAUUAGAAUUAGAGGAGUCCAAAGGAAUAGGUUGGGAAACUUGUUUCUAGGAAGAAGUAGAGGAUUUUUAGAAAGAAGAUUUGGAAGAGGAGGAAGAUUUUGAACUAGUGAUAGACUUUGGUGUGCACAGAGGAGGAUUAAAAAUAGAGGGUUUCGGAAUAGUGUGUUUCACCAUCUUGCCUUUACGCAUAGAACAAAGCAGCACAUCUGGAGAAGAGAAAGGAAGAGGAAGGGGAGCAGGUGUAACUAUUCAUUUCCUCUUGCUCUCUUGAAGAGAUUUAGCAAGGUAUACGUCUUCCUGUUGUUUCCUUAGACGAGUAUGAAGAGUUCUAGGAAUGGGUAUAACAAGACAAGGUUCCACAAAAUCAUGGUCCUCAACAACAAUCGUAGAGAAAGAAUGUUUUCUUUUUGAUUGAGAUCUUGACUUUCUUGGAAUUAAGUUAGCAAUAGGAACAUCAUCAGGUCAAUAAUUUGGAGAGAAAUCAGAGCUGGUGGAGUGGGUUUAGGAGAAAAUGAAAGAUUAGAAGAAAGUUUAGCAAAAGGGUUUUUAAAAAUUUUGAAGAAGGCAAAAUUGGAUAGUUUAAUGGGAAUGAUAAUUGGAAUAGAAGAGAUUUUGUUGGCAAUGGGGAGGAGGAUGAUUUUAUUGUGAGGUGAAGUAGUAGAGUCAUGGAGGUUUGAUAAAUCAGAGGAAGAAGAAGAUGUCAUGGUUAAGAGGAAAUGUGAGAUCUUGAUUUUUACUUGGGAGAGUGACUGAAUGAUGAAGUAGAAGAGGGAAACAUAUUUAAGGAAAAGAAAAGUAAGUUGAAGCGAAGGAGGUCUGUAUUUGGUGAAGAAACGUAAUGAUAAAGGUGUGCAGUGGUGAUGGGAAUGCGGUGGCAGCUUUUUGAAAAAGAAGGACUCUUGGGUUUUUUUGGAGGUUUGGGGAGUAACAAAGAACCAUGUAGCAUACCUGUUUCUCUUUAUGCAAUUUUAGGUAAAAUGUAAUCGUACCUCAACUUUGUGAACAAGAUGUACAAAAUUGCUUGAGUGUUCUAGCAUCUCUGCAAAACCAAUACAUGAAUGAGUCAGUUUACUCAAAAAUCUUGGAAUUAGGACACGCAACUAAAUGUGUAAGACUGAAUUAAUCAACAACCACUUAAGAGCACAUUGUCUUUUCUAGUCAAUCAUCGAGGGAGAUUUAUGAAAUUUUAAUCAUCCCCAAGGCUAAUCUAUUCUUUUCAAAAUGUUCUUUGUCUAAUGCCUUAGUGAAUCUAUCAGCAAUUUGAUCUUCAGUAGAAUAAAACAUGAUUUAUAUAAAACCUUUUUCAACAUUAUCUCUAAGAAAGUAAUGUUGAAUAUCAAUAUGUUUAUUUCUUUUAUGUUGGACAUGAUUCUUGGAAAUAUUAAUAGCACUUGUACUAUCAUAAAAAAUGGGAACACAAACUACAUCCACCCCAAAAUCCAUGAGUUGUUGUUUAAUCCACAACAAAUAUGCACAACACUAUCCAAUAUCAACAUACUCAGCCUCAGCAGUAGAUAGAGCUACUGAGUUGUGCUUCUUCAUAGACCAAAUUAAAAAUGAUCCAAGAAAGUGUGCCAUCCUAGUGGUGCUCUUCCUGUCUACUAAAUAGCCUGCAUAGUAAACAUCAGAAUAACCCACCAAGUUAAAAUUUCUACCUUUAGGAUACCAUAGGCCAAGAUCAGUUGUUCCUUUGAGAUAUCGAAAAAUUCUCUUCACAAAUAUCAAAUGAGAUACUUUAGGAUUUUCCUGGAAUCUUGCACACAAUCCCACACUAAAUACAAUGUCAGGUAUGCUUGCUGUGAGAUAAAGUAAGGAUCCUAUCAUUCCUCUAUAUAAUUUUUGCUCCACAUCAGGACCUAUUUCAUCCAUAUAUAGCUUGGUGGCAGUAGCUAUUGGUGUACUGGUCUCUUUAGCUUUCUAUAUGGAAAACCUUUUAAAAAGUUCCUUGAUGUACUUCUGUUGAUGUAUCAUGGAUCCAGAGGUUGUUUGCAAGCCCAAGAAAAAAUUUAGCUCACCCAUCAUACUCAUCUCAAACUCACAACUCAUGAGUUUUGCAAAGUCAUGGGUCAUAUUCAUGUUUGUACAUCUAAAUAUGAUACCAUCUACAUAAACUUGCACCACUAACAAAUCUUUUCCAUUAGUUUUUAAGAAAAAAGUAUUAUCAAUCUUACCUCUAGUAUGGCCAUGCUCUAAAAAAAUUUUUGACAAUCUUUCAUACCAAGCUCUGAGAGCUUAUUUUAGGCCAUACAAGGCCUUGUCAAGCUUAUACACAUGAUUAAGAAACUCCUUACUCUCAAAACUUAGUGGUUGUUUAACAUACACCUUCUCCUUGAGAAUGUCAUUCAAAAAUGCACUCUUAAUAUCCAUUUGGUAGAGAAUGAAUUCUACAUAAGCAACAAAAGCUACAGGAAGCCUAAUUGCUUCAAUUCUAGCUACAUGAGCAAAAGUCUCAUCAAAAUCUAUGCCUUCUUCUUGAUUGUAUCCUUAGACCACCAGUCUUUCCUUAUUCCUUGUAACUGUUCCAUGCCCAUCGACCUUAUUUUUGUACACCUACUUAGUCCCAAUCACUGUUCUACCUUUUGGAAGAGGUACUAAGUGUCAUACUUUGUUUAACUCAAACUGGUUUAACUCCUAUUGUAUGGCUAUGAUCUAGUCAGCAUCAAGAAGUGCCUCAUUCACCUUCUUUGGUUUAAUUUCUGACAAAAAUGCUUUGAAAGCACAUAUGCUCCUUAACCCUGACCUUGUAGUGAUCCAGAAGUGAGAUCAGUGAAUACAUUUUCAAUAGGAUGAGAUCCUUGAUACUUGUAUCCUUUUGGAAACAAUCCUUGUAAAGUACUAGAAUUACUGUGAUUAUUUUGAGUUGGGGUGGUUGGUGGUUCAGUUCCCCCUAUCAGUGUGCCUGCAGCAUCAAUUCCCUCUGUCGAGGUGCCUUUAUGUUUAACACCUUUAGGUGAUGGACUAUGUUGAGCAACCUGUUCCUCAAUAUCACUUUCUUUCUUUUUCUACCCCUGCUUUGAAGUAUCAUUGGUCCACACAGAACCAUAUGGAUCAGGUCCAGGAACUUAGUUGUGCUGAUAUGGUUCUUGGCUUUAAUUAUGGAUAUAUGAAUAAUUAUGGAUAUGAACUUAGGAGAGUGAGUGUUGGACCUGAGCCUUGGCAUAUGUAAUUGAAGUGUAAAAGAGUCCCUUAAUACACCCAAAUCAGCCCAUAAAUUACACUAGAUGGGUGCCCACUCUUUGAAGGGCCUUUUGGUUAUUUUAACUUAUAUUUUAUAAUAUCUAUUAAAGGAACAUUGUAGGUUUUUUAGUUUAGUUUUUGGAUGAUAGUUGGGAGUCUUGUAAUACUUGUAACAAGCUCUCUCUUUAGUGAGAAGAGUGACCAGAAAAACUAGGAUACAACAAUAGGGUGGAUUCUCUUUUGUCGUUGCUUGCUGGGAAACAUUGAUGCUAGAGAGGUGGAAUCCAAUAUUAUGUCACAUAAUAGAUAGGUUUAUUGUUGUGUGUAGUGUUAAGGGUCCAAGAGUUUCCAUUCUUGGGUUGUUAAGAUUAUACCUUCAUGUGGUCUAUCUAUCUAUCAUUUUACCUUCUUGUAAUAUUGUUUAGUGUUUGUGUUGUAAUCUUGUGUUCUUGUUGUUAUUGUUAAAUCCAAAUCUUUUGUCUUCUUGUUCAUCAUCUUAUGUUGUUAAUCUAGUUUGCUGUCCGCUGAUUUAGUGUAAUAAAUACCUUGUUAUCUUCUUGUUAUUGUGUUCUUAGGAAGCCAAGACUUGGUCUCCAAAAGGGUUCACGGAUUUCUUCCAUUUUAUGGACUAUUUUUUGGACUAAUUUUGGUGUUCCCUUGUUUGUUCCGUAUCAUUUGGUAUCAAAUAUAUCUUUGGUUUUGUUCUUACAAUACCAAUCUUGGGCUUUCUUCCUAAGAAAUACAAAAAAAAGGAAAGAAAGACAUGUUCUUGAGCUUGAGAUCUUAGCCGAGAAGUUGAACUUGUUGAUGUUGUAUCUUGGCCGAAUGUUGUGUGUCUAGGUCUAGGAUUUAUUUUGCUUGUGCUGUUGUUUAAAGUGUUUGUAUUCUUGUCCAUUAACACUUUGAGUCGAUCUAGAUUUGAGUUUUAAAAAAAAUUGAUGUUGUUAUUAUGAACAAGACCAUGGUCGUGUGUUGAAGUUGUUGUUCUUGGAUGUGUGGACUUGUUGUUAUAGUCUUGGUUGGACAUUGUUGGUGUUUUUGUUUAUCUCAAUAAAGUUGUUGUUGAGUUCUUUAUAUUCAUCACAACCUUCACCCUUGCUAAAACCGAAAUACAACACCAAAAAGAACCUUGGUCGUGUGUUGACACUAAAAUUGGCCGUGAUGUGUGUUGAUGUUUGCCAUGGGGUGGAAAUUGUUAAUGUGUUCUUGAAGGGUGUUGUGGUGUACAUCUUGUUAUUCAUCUCAUCUUACAACUUAAUACAACCAAAAGUGUAACAUAUAUUCAAAAAGGUGAACCUACAAGUUGUAAAGUUGUUUGUGAGAAGAUUUGAGCCAUCACUUUCUUGACUUUACAUCUACUUUUCAACCACUUUCCUUGUUUCAAGGGACCUUGUUUUGUGGGAAUUGUUCAAAGUCAAGUCUUUCCUUUUGAAUAUUAGACUUAAAGGAGAUUUAAGACAUAUACUUUCCCUCCAACCAAUUGUUUCCAUUACAUAGUAACUAAAGUUUGUAAACUUCAACUAGUGACUAAUGGUGGGGCCGUGACCAAUGGUAUGCUGCUACGUCACCCAUGUUACUGUUCACACAACAAUUUUAAGCUCAAAAUUUGAUAUUCUAGUUUCAUUGUGUUGUUUCUUUAGUUUUGUUUGUUGAUUCCAUUACUAACUUACAAGCUAGUUUUAGAUUGUAAGUUAGUUUUACAACCGUCCUUUGUGUAUACGUUCCUUUGUGUGUCUUAUUCUUUUGAGUUUUUGUAAUACUUGGUCCACCUCUUACAUGAUUUAGAGAUGAUGAGAGGGAGUUUCUUGAUAUAAUUAUGUACUUGUGUUAAAGUGAAAGAAUUGCAUGUGAUUGAGAACUUUGAUGUGACCACCAUGUGUAUUUGAAAUAUUAAAAAAGAGAGUUUCAUGCAUGUGUCUACAUGAGUUUUAAGAAAUAGUUCUUUGAAUUGAUUUAUUAAUAUGGUGGUCGCAAACCUUAUGUUUUGAAAACAGAGAUUAUAAUAUGCUAUUAAUGGCUCAGAGACACGACUUGCAAGUCAAUGGUAUAAUGAUACCAUAAGCAUGUAUGCCAUAACAGAGUAUGUUUUCAGAGAAUGAAUGUUUUAAAGAGUUAAAACUGGGCUUAAAUAGGGUUUGGUGGUUACCCGAAGAAGGCUUGAGUUCAAGUGACUCUUUGCCUAAAACCGUGAUUUUCCGAUUCAGGUAUAUUAUUUUUAUACUUGCGACGACCAUGUGGUGUAGCAUAGUCAAAGAAUCCAACCCUUGUGGAACACUUGGGUUGGGGGCUUCCCCACCGAGCCAAUUGUAGAUUCCAUAUAGCCCAUGGAAUUUUAGAGUUGUAGGGUAUACCACCUAGCACAGAAGUAAAAAAAGAGUGUCACAGAGUUCAGAUAAUUUAUCAGAGUCUUUCAAAAAUGCCCAUGUGAUUUCUUACCAUAUGAAAUGUUUAUGAACUGUUCUAAAUUGCUCUCAUAUAUGUUGAAUAUCAAUUAUUAUUUUGGAUUUGCUCUGUGUACCAGUACAAUUGUAUUAACCCCUUACCUCCUAGGUUUGAAGACUCAGUCUAGGGGUCCGGAUCCGUGUAGUGGUGAGCCUUCUUUGUUCCAGAAGGCCUAUUAUUUUAGAUUAUGUUAUUCCUUUAUUUUUGUCUACUGGGGACCUUGUCCCAGCUUUUCAGAAAGUUGUCUUUAGAUCAUGUAGUAGAGAUUUUGUAGACUUUUCCAGAUGUUGUUUAGUUGAUUUCGGAUUUCAUUAUUAUUAUUAAAUGGAAUCCAGAGUAUGACCAUGUUUCCAUAUCAGAUUAUAUUUCCGCAUCUUCUUUUAUUAUAUGAAUAUUAUGCAUGAUUACCAGAUAGAGUAGGACGCCCGGGCCUUCAUGGUUUGGGAUGUCCGUCAUGGACAGGCCUUAGUUCGGGUCACGACAAACUUGGUAUCAGAGCACGAUUCAUGGUCCCAGGGUGUCUGCGAAAUUGCGUCAGGUAGAGUCUUAUUUAUGGGUGUGUAGCGCGCCACACUUAUAAGUAGGAGGCUACUAGGUGUUUAGGAAUAUUUCCCCUCUUUGUGAUUCAGUUCGUGCCUUAGAGUCUAAUCUGCCCCCUAAUAAUGUGAUCUAUUGUAUUUCAGAAAAGUAGACAUGCCACCUCUUCGCUCUAACAAUCAGAAUACUUAGGAUAAUGAAGUUUGUCCCACCCAUGGGAUGUGGACCCAUAAUAGAGCUCACACCCUAGAGCCUGUUCUUACUCUGGGAGUACCUUCACACCCGACCAAUCCUCCUCGAGCCCCAAGGACAAAUGUUAAGUCUUCUCAGAGGGACAUAUCUAAUGCAGAAUCCAGACAGUCCAUUCAUAUGCUGGUGCAACUGGUGGCCACACAAACUCAGCGGUCGGAAGAUAUUGGGUAUGCAUCUGCUAUAUGUGAGGCUACUAGGGUAGGUCAGUUUAUGAGGAUGAACCCAUCCAAGUUUACUGGUACCAAGGUAGAACAGGAUCCACAGGAGUUUGUGGACGAGAUGGAGAAUAUCUUAUUGGUAAUACAUAUAGAUGAGGUAGAGAGGGUUGAGUUGGCAGCUUACCAUCUUAAGUAUGUAGUGAACCAAUGGUAUAAUGAGUGGGAAGAUUCAAAGAGUAAGCAUGCUGAACCCACAGUUUGGGCUGAGUUCGUGGAAGCCUUUUUUGAUCGAUUGUUUUAUCUUGAGCUGAGGGAGGCCAAAGCAGAGGAGUUUAUGAAUCUAAAGUAGGGAAAUAUGAGUGUCCAGGAGUACACUCUGAGGUUCAACCAACUGGCCCGUUAUGCUCCAGAGAUGACUAGUAACAUAAGAGCCCGAAUGAGGAAAUUUGCAUCCGGCUUUUUAGAUGACUUAGUACUUGAAUGUCAGGGAGCAAUGUUGAAUCGGGACAUGGAUUUUGCCAAAUUAUCAUUCCACAUGCAGCAAGUUGAGGAGAAAAAAAUAAAAUCACGGAAUCUAGGGAGAAAAAUAGACAGGAAAAGAGAGCUAAAACAGCAGACUAGAGCUAUAGUCAGCAGCAGAGUGGGAAUUGGAGUAAUAAAUUGUAGAAGAAGAAGAAUUGGGGUAAUGCGCAGUGUGAAGCCAGUGCUCCAGUGAUUAGAACCCCCAUCUAGAUAGCGCACUCAGGAUUUUCAGUAUAGGCAAGGGCCGAGGAUGCAGGGUUCGCAUUCUCAAGGAAGUGUAGUUCAGACCCCUCAGACAUACCCAUGCUAUUAGAGAUGUGGGAGAAAUCAUCCAGGGAGAUGUUAGUUUGGCGCUAUGGUAUGUUAUUCGUGCGGCCAGCUAGGCCAUAUCUAGAGAGACUGUCUGGAAGCAAAGGGCAAUGUUGGUGGAGCCAAGUCACAGGCUAGUUCUUCUGCACCACCACCACCUCACUUUAAUUGCCAAAAACGGACACAACCAGUUGUAUACCUUGACCUACCUCUAAGAGGUAGAGGCCUCACCGGAUGUAGUUACUGGUACAUUAAAAAUAUUUUCCCAUGAUGUUUAUGUGUUACUUGAUCCCGGCUCUACCCUAUCAUAUGUGACCCCUUAUGUGGCUGUUGGUUUUGGGUUUGAACCCGGUCUGAUUAUUGAGUCUUUUUCUGUUUCCACUCCGGUGAGAGAUUCUGUUAUGGCUAGGAGGGUGUAUAGAAAUUAUGUGGUGACUGUUUGUGGGCGGGAUACUAUGGCAGAUCUCAUAGGACUUGAAAUGAUUGACUUUGAUACUAUCUUAGGGAUGGAUUGGCUCCAUUCGUGCUAUGCCACACUAAAUUGUAUAACCCGAAGAGUCAUUUUUUCUUUCCCGAAUGAACUAGUAGUAGAGUGGGAGGGACAUUCUUUAGCACCUAGAGGGCACUUUAUAUCUUAUUCUUUAGCACCUAGAGGGCACUUUAUAUCUUACCUUAGAUCCCGUAAACUUAUUUCUACGGGCUAUUUGUAUCAUCUUAUUCGGGUUAAAGAUUUAAAUACCGAGAACCCUUCUCUUCAGUCCAUCCUUAUGGUGAAUGAAUUCCCAAAAGUUUUUUAGAUGAUCUCCCAGGAAUACCAUCUGAUAGGGAAAUAGAUUUUGGUAUUGAUUUGCUGCCAGACACCCGUCCCAUCUCUAUUCUGCCAAAUAAAAUGGCUCCUACAAAGCUAAAAGAGUUGAAAGAGCAGCUAAAAGAUCUUCUAGACAAAGGUUUUAUUCGCCUUAGUGUUUCUCCCUAGGAUGCACCUAUACUCUUCGUGCGAAAUAAAUGUAGUUCCCUGCGUAUGUAAAUAGAUUACCGCCAGUUGAAUAAGGUCACUGUUAAAAAUAAAUAUCCUUUUCCUAGAAUUAAUGAUCUUUUUAACCAGCUUCAGGGUGCUAGAUGUUUUUCAAAGAUAGACCUUCAUUCAGGAUACCAUCAGUUGAAAGUUAGAGAGUCUGACAUUUCCAAAACAGCUUUCUGAAUUAGAUACGGUCAUUGUGAGUUCUUAGUCAUGUCCUUUGGGUUGCAAUGCCCCUGCAACCUUCAUGGACCUUAUGAAUAGGGUGUUCUGUCAGUUUCUAGACCUGUUUGUCAUAGUUUUUAUUGAUAACAUCUUGGUGUAUUAUAAGAGUGAGAAGGACCAUGACAAUCAACUCCGAAUUAUUCUUUAGACUCUCUGAGAUCAUAAGUUGUCUGCAAAAUUUUCCAAGUGUGAAUUCUAGCUUAACGCUAUUUGCUUUCUUAUGGCAUGUUGUAUCUAGUGAGGGAUUUAAGGUUGAUCCCCAAAAGGUUGAGGCAGUGAGAAAAUGGCCAGACCUACUACUCCAACUGAUAUUCGGAGCUUCUUGGGUUUGACAGGUAUUACAAGAGAUUUGUAGAAAGCUUUUAUUCCAUAGCUGCAAUACUUACUAAGCUGACUCAGAAGAAGGCGAAGUUUGUGUAGUCUGACUCUUGUGAGAAUAGUUUCAAGAGGUUGAAAGGCAAGUUGACCACUGCUCCUAUUUUGACUCUUCCGAAAGGUACAGAGGGUUUUGUUGUGUACUGUGAUGCAUCCCAAGUAGAACUCGGAUGUGUGCUUAUGCAACAUAGUAGAGUGGUAGCUUAUGCAUCUAGGCAGUUAAAGGUGCACAAGCAAAAUUACCCCACCCAUGACUUGGAGUUAGCAUCUGUGGUGUUCGCACUUAAAAUCUGGAGGCAUUAUCUUUAUGGAGUUCAUGUUGAUAUAUUUACUGACCACAAAAGUUUGCAGCAUGUUUUCUCGCAAAAAGAACUUAAUCUCAGGCAGAGAUGGUGGUUAGAAUUGCUAAAGGAUUAUGACAUGAGCCUGCACUAUCAUCCGGGCAAGGCGAAUAUGGUAGCCGACGCCCUUAGCAGGUUUUUUAUGGGCAACUUUUCUCAUGUUUAAGAAGGGAAAAGAGAGAUAGUAAAAGAUAUUCACCGACUUGUAAAUCUUGGAGUGCGACUCUUAGAUUCUAAAUAUGGAGGGGUGGUUGUUCAUGAUAUAGCUAAAUUAUCCCUUUGUGCAGAGGUUAAGGAAAAACAGGUUAAAGAUUCCAUCUUGAUGUAGAUCAAGAAAGAUAUGGGUCAACGAAAGGUGAUGUCCUUUGAAAUUGGUGGUGAUGGUAUUUUGAGAUAUCAGGGUAGAUUGUGUGUGCUAGAUGUAGAAGGUAUAAGGGAGAGAAUCCUUGAUAAAACUUACACAUCGAGGUAUGUUGUCCACCCAGGCUCUACUAAGAUGUAACAUGACUUAAAAGUUAUAUAUUAGUGGAAUAAUAUGAAGCGUGAUAUGGCUAACUAUGUUGCUAAGUGUUUGAAUUGUCAACAAGUGAGAGUAGAGCAUAUGAGGCCAGGUGAUACUUCCCAAGAGAUAGUUUUGCUCUUGUGGAAAUGGGAGAUGAUCAAUAUGGACUUCAUCACGGGACUUACGAGGUCCCAAAACCAGUAUGACUCUAUUUGGGUGAUUGUUGACAGGCUGACCAAGUCAACUCACUUCCUGCCUGUGAGGAUUAAUUAUUUGGGAGAUGUCUAUGCCAAGAUUUACAUGGAGAUAGUCCGUCUGCAUAGAUCACCUGUGUCCAUCAUAUCUGAUCGAGGUACACAAUUCUCUUUGCAAUUUUGGAGAUCCUUUCAGAGAGGUUUAGGUACUCAAGUGAACCUAAGUAUGGCUUUCCACCCCCAGUCCGAUAGGUAAGCUGAGCAUACUAUUCAAACCCUUGAGUAUAUGUUGCGGGCAUAUGUGAUUGACUUCAAAGGUAGUUGGGUAGAUCACUUUCCCUUGAUAGAGUUUGUGUAUAAUAAUAGUUAUCAUGCCAGUAUUAAGAUGGAUCCUUUUGAGGCAUUGUAUGAGAGGAGAUGUAGGUCUCCAAUAGGGUGGUAUGAAGUAGGUGAGACUUAGGUGUUUGGGACAAAACUUGUUCACCAGGAAAUGAAGGAUGUGAAGAUUAUUAAAUAAUGACUUAAGACAGCCCAGAGUAGACGGAAACCCUAUGCUGAUGUUAGAAGAAGGGAGCUAGCAUUUGGGGUUGGUGAUUGGGUGUUUCUCAAAAUUUCUCCUAUGAAGGGAGUCAUACGUUUUGGAAAUAAAGGGAAGUUGAGUCCUCGCUAUAUAGGACCAUACCAGAUUAUGAGAAGAAUAGGUGACUUUUUGUAUGAGUUAGAGUUGCCUGCAAAUAUGGGUUCUGUUCACCCAGUGUUUCAUGUAUCCAUGUUGAAGAAAUGUAUUGGGGACCACUCUCUAGUAUUACCCAUAGAAGAUAUCAGAGUGUCAGACUCCCUAUCUUAUUAAGAAGAGCCUAUUGUAAUCUUGGAUCAUCAAGUUCGGAAAUUGAGAAGUAAAGAGAUAGUUUCGGUUAAGGUGUUGUGGAGAAAGCAAAAAGUUGAAGAAGCAACUUGGGAAUCAGAAGAGGACAUGAGAGGAAGGUACCCAAAUCUAUUUGAUCCUGUGAAUGAUGAGACGAAAGGUACAAUCCUUGUCUUACUCUUUCCAUGUCCUUAAUAUUCUUGUAAUCAUAUUUGUCUGUGCCUCGCGCCAUCAUUCGGGGACGAAUGAUCCCAAGGGGGGGAUAAUGUAACACCCCAUCAAAUCAUCCAUAUGUUGUCUCAUUUAUUUUUCUUCCUAAGUGAGUAAAGUUUAAAUCAUAUAGAAUUUCCAUAAUUUUGACUCUCUAUCAAGUGGGAAAUUGAAUGAGCUUUCUGUCGAUAUAGGAUUUCCCAAAUCUGAUACCCGCACAAAAAGUUAUGGCUAAAUUUAAGUCCUAGUUGUAAAAUACCAUUAUUUUGGUGCUUGGCGCGUCGUGGAGGGGGUCUAUUUAACAAUUAUCAAAUUCUAAUAGCCUAGCACGAUUGUGGUGCAUUGCGCUGAAGUUCCAGGUCCCAACCAGUGGGACAACGUGAUGGCUCCGCAUCGCGGUAACCCCAAGAAUUUCAUUCGUCAAUUUUCAGUAAGCCACCUCAAAAGUGCCACGUCGCGGUAGCCCAUAAAAUCGGGCUCCCAAUUAUAUUUUUUCCAAUUACGUUAAGGGUUAAAAGGGGGGUAUUAUGAGCAAUUAUCCUACCCCCAAUCCGUCCAUAAGCAUACAAUCAAUGGCAUAAUAAAACACUUUAUGCCCGAAUCUUCCUUCUCUAUAAAGCAAAAACCCUAAGCAUCUCAAAAACCUUUUCCAAGAAUCUCAAGAUUCAACCGUGGAUUUUUAAAAUUGACUGAAUAUUUGGAAUCCCCAAACCGUAGGCUUCAAAAAUCAGUCACUAAGUUCAUAAUUCAAGGUACGUGGGGUUUAUCCUAAGACUACAUGGGCUUGUUGAAACAUUCAUAUGAUUUAAAGUUUAUGAAGCAUGAAUUUAGAAAAGGAUUGUGGAAUUUAUGAUUUUAAUUAUGUUUCAUGAAUGUUUUAAUGAUAUUGUUGUUUUGGCCUUUCAGCCUUUCCCCCUUAAAUCGAUUUAUACGUAUAUGUAUGAAAAUUGAGAUUUUAGAUUUGUUUGAGACCACAAAUUAUGAAAUCCCUCUCUUGUAAUGAAUUUAUGUUUAUAAUCUUAUUGUGAAUGGUUUGAAAUGCAUGAUUUAUGGUUUGAAAAUAGUUUUCUCAAUAUUAUAGUAUUAGAACAUGAUUUAGAGAGGAUGAGAGGGAGUUUCUUGAUAUAAUUAUGUUCUUGUGUUAAAGUGAAAGAAUUGCAUGUGAUUGAGAACUUUGAUAUGACCACCUUGUGUAUUUAAAAUGUUGUAAAAGAGAGUUUUUUGCAUGUGUUUACAUGAGUUUUAAGAAAGAUUUCUUUGAAUUGAUUUAUUGAUAUGGUGGUCCCAAAACUUAUGUUUUGAAAAUAGAGAUUAUAAUAUGCUACUAAUGGCUCAGAGACGCGAGUUGCAAGUUAAUGGUAUGACGAUACCAUAAGCAUGUAUGCCAUAACAAAGUAUGUUUUCAGAGUGUGUUUUCAGAGAAUGCAUGUUUUAAAGAAUUAAAACUGGGCUUAAAUAGGGUUAGGUGGUUAUCCGAAUAAGGCUUGAGUUCAAGUGACUCUUAGCCUAAAACCGCGAUUUGCUGAUCCGGGUAUAUUAUUUUUACACUGGCGACGGCCGUGUGGCAUAGCAGAGUCAGAGACUCCAACCCUUGCGGCACACUUGGGUUGGGGGCUUCCCCGCCGAGUUAAUAGAAGAUUCCAUAUAUCCCGUGGAAUUUCAGAGUUGUAGGGUAUACCACCUAGCGCAGAAGUAAAACAAAAAGUGUCACAGAGUUCAGAUGAUUUAUCAGUUUUUCGAAAAUGCCCAUGUGAUUUCUUACCAUAUGAUAUGUUUAUGAACUAUUCUAAAUUUCUCUCAUAUAUGUUGAAUAUAAAUUAUUAUGUUGGAUUUGCUCUGCGUACUAGUACAAUUGUAUUGACCCCCUACCUUCCAGGUUCGGAGGCUUAGUUUAGUGGUCCGACUAAUCAGUAAAGUAUCAGAUUAUGUUAUUCCUUUGUUUUGUUCUACUGGUGGCCUUGUCUCAACUUUUCAAAAAGUUGUCUUCAGAUUAUAUAGUAGAGAUUUUGCAGACUGUUCCAAAUGUUGUUUAGUUGAUUUUGGAUUUCAUUCUUAUUGUUAAACUAAAUCUAGAGUAUGACCAUGUUUUUGUAUCAGAUUAUAUUUCCACAUCUUCUUUUAUUAUAUGAAUGUUGUGCAUGAUUACCAAAUAGAGUAGGAUGCCCUGGCCUUCAUGGUCCGGGAUAUCCGUCACGGCCAGGCCCUAGUUUGGGUCGCAAUGAUUAGUUUCCUAUUUCUUGGUCUGAGAGAAUUUAUUUGCCAAAUUUAGACUGCUAAAUCUGCUUUUGAAAGCAACAGGACAUUCAGUGGUUGGAUGUCCAAGAUUACCACAGAUAUAAAAUAAGUCUUGAGGAUCGUCAAGACUUCUGUGAAAACCCAGACCUGCUUUUUCACUAUGAUUCCUUUCACUUAACUUAUGAACAAUUCUUGAAUAAUUUGUCCACCUGUUUGCCCUUUCAAGAUCAAGUUUCAGUUUAGAGACUUAUUGACUCAGUUUAUUCACCAUGUUUGUUACAUCAUUACACUCUUGUUUGUACUUGACUAAUUCAAGUUCAACAUUUUCUUGUUCUUUAAUCUAGACCUUUUUUCCCUUUUCAGUGAAUGUCAGUUUUAGGACUUCAGACUUAAGAUCAUUGUUUGAAGAAUCGAGUUGCGAAACCUAUUUCUUGAGUGUGUAGUUUUCUUCUUCAAUAGUGUUCUUGCAAGCUUCUAAAUCAAUAAAGUCAAAUUUGAGACUUGCAAGACUGUUGAACAAUUCAUCCCUAUCAGAAGUUAAUUCUUGGAAAUCAUCAAGCAGUGCACUUAUCAAGAAAACAAGCUUUGUUUUAGAAAAUAAAUGCUACAUUUCUUCAAGUUCAGAUAUACUUACCUCAAAAGCAUCAUCAUCUUCCUCCAAGUCUGAAUCUCCAAUAGACAUGAAUGCUAUUUCAUCAAUUUCAUCAUUAUCCAAAUCAGAUUCCCAAGAAGAUAACAUAGCAUAUUCCUCUCAGAUUCCCAAGCAACUACCAAGCAUACUCCUCUUUCUCCUUCUUUUUGUUUUUUUUUCUUUUAAUUCUCUUUCAGCCCUUUCCUUUAUCCACUCUAUUUCCUAGACAGGACAAUCCUUGAUUUGAUAAUUAGUCUUACCACACUUGUAGCAUCCAUUUGGAUUGUCAUUGGAAUGUUUCUUGCUACUUGUUCCCUUUCUUUUUAAAGAAUUUGUGGAAGUUCUUAGUUAUGAAGGCAACUUAUUUCUUGUCAAGUUUGAUUUCUUCAUCACUGUCUGAAGCCUUCAAAGCCAAGAUUUUUUCAGGGGAUGCUUGUUCUUUAAUUCCAUCAAUUUCUAUUUCAUAAGUCCUCAGAUUCCCUACUAGUUCAUCCAGUGACAUAUGUGUGAGAUCCUGUGCCUCCCUAAUAGCAGUCACUUUAGCAUUCCAUUUCGAUUUAGGCAGUACCCUCAACAUCUUUUCAACUUGUUCCUUAAAAGAGAUGACUUUUCCUAAGAAAUUCAACUCAUUUGUCAAGGCAGUAAGCCUUGUCAUCAUUUCAUGCAAGGAUUCAUUCUCCUUCAUCUUAAAAGCUUCAUAUCAGUAAAAAAGAAGAGAAAUUCUGAAUUUUGUUACUAGAGAAGUACCCUCAUGUGCAUUGACCAGGGCAUCCUAGAUUUGCUUAGCAGUGGUACAGUUUGACACUCUGUUGUACUCAGCCGGUCCAAGUCCAUAGACUAAGAUGUUCUUAUCGUUUGUAUUUUUCUUUAAUGCUACUAAGUCAUCACCAGUAAAUUCACUUCUUACUUUCUUGACUUGUUCACCAUCAACCAGUUUCAUUGGAAUAGUAGGACCAUCAGUGAUCCUAUCCCACAAUUCGUAGUCUUCCCCUUGAAUGAACAUUCCUAGCUUUUUACCAGAUAAAGUAAGAACCAUCAAAGAGUGGAGGUCUAGUAGUUGACUGGCUUUCACUAUGACCAGUAGGAGGUGUGGAAUUCAUCAUGGUGAUAUUUUCUUAGGUACUAACCUUAUUUAAGAAAAUCUACUCUGAUACCACUUGUUAGAGUGUGCACCCUACUGAUUUUAAUGUUUUACUCUAUUAGUUACCUAUCAGUGGAACAAGUAAGCUUAUAUGGUUCACUUAAGCAAAGUAAAUAUGAAGAUAUUAUUUUUACGUGGAAAACACUUGGCUCAAGAGAGGUGUAAAAAACCACGAACUGUACCUCUACAGAAUUUAACCUGAAUUUCUCUAAAACUCUUGAGCCUAAACAAUUAACAAAUUACAAGGCUCUUGUAAACUAGGAAUUAAACUUCUAACUCCUAUUUCUACAAUAACACAAAUCUUUCCAAGAUAAGUGUUCCCAAGUCUUCGAGUUCCCUAACUUGAAGACACAACUCCUACUCAGUUUAUAUUUCACUGAGACUAGAAUUAAGACUCAUUACAACUCAAGUAACCAACCUAUUACACAAAGUUUAUGACUUUCAAAGUAAAGGACCUGGUUCUUCUUAGAGCUAGUGGACUGAUUUGUUGAUUGAAGCUUUUCUUUUUAGUGCAUGAUUGAAACUUUUUUUCACAGUCUCUUCUAUUUAAGCCAACUCCUAAUGGAGUCUUUUAGAUGAUGCAGUCUUCUUUUUCAAUAGGACUUUCAGUUAGUUUCACUCCUUGUUACCAUCUAUCUUCUUGACUGGUAGGACUCCUUUAUUUGCUCAAUCUUCAAGUGUUGUAUUUAUCUUCUCUUUAUCUUUUCCACACAUGAUAAGUGUUGAUAGUAUAACUGAAUUUUCUAGCUUAUCCACUUCUGACUUCAACCACUUUAGUUUAUCAUCAGCCGUGCCCGUAACUUUUCUUUAUUCACUUAUGUAGACCAGUAUGCACAACUUAUUUCAUUUAUAUGUCCAUCAUCAAAACUUUAGCUCCCUAACAUUAACUAUGAUACUUUAAAAUCUAUGUAUGGGAAGUUCUUGACUAAGGACUUGUCUGAGAUCUCACUGUCUAAAGAAGUGUUUGGAUCAUGUCAGAUGGGUAAGGUUCAUAAGAAAGCAUUUCCUAAAAGUGCUACCUGGAGGACAACUGAAAAACUUAACCUUAUUCACACUGAUGUAUGUGGCCUAUGAAGAUAUCAUCCUUGGGCCAAAAUAAAUAUUUUAUGCUGUUUAUUGAUGACUUGGUGUAUUUUUUGAGUAAAGGGUCUCAAGUAUUUUUGGUUUUCAAAAAGUUUAAAGUUUUUAUUGAAAGAUAGAGUGGUUAUAAGCCGAAGGCUUUGAGGUCAGGCAAUGGAGGCAAAUACACAUCAAAUGAGUUCAAUAGGAUACCAAAGUUGUUGAUGGUAAAACUCCUAUUGAGGCAUGGAGUGGAAAAAGACUGUCUGCUAAGAACUUAAAAUUUUUUAGCUUUAAAAUUUUUUAGCUCGAUAUGCUAUUCUCAUGCUCCUUCGGUCAGAAGAAGAAAACUUAAAUUCAAAUGUGAAUUGGGGAUCUUUAUGGUUAUUCAUCACAAGCCAAGGGGUAUAUAGUUUUCGACUUGCAAACAAAAAGUAUUUCCAUCAGAAAAGAUGUAAUAGUAGAUGAGAAUGCUUAUUAGAACUAGGAUAAGAAGAAAGUUGAGAAUGCAAAUAUAGGUUAGCUGAACUUGCAUCCGCUACCUAAAACAUAAUCAUUUGGCUCUAAAAUUUAGUAGAAGUUGAAGAAUCAGAUGGUGCAUCCUCACUUGAUUCACCAACUUUGAAGAUGAGGUCCUUUUUUGAGAUAUAUGAAAGAUGUAAUGUUGCAAUCUUGGAUCCCGAUACCUAUCAAGAAGAAUCAAAACAUGAAGUGUGGAUUGAAGCUAUGAAGGAGGGAUUGGUAUGAUAGAAAAGAAUGACACUUGGAAGUUGUUUGACAAAACCCAAAGACAAAAAUGUAUAGGGGUGAAAUGGGUUUAUAGAACCAAAUUUAAUCCAGAUGGUUCAGUUUAUAAAUACAAAUCAAGGCUUACUGUGAAAGGUUACAUACAAGUUGUAGGUAUGGAUUAUGGAGACACAUUUGCAUCUAUUGUGGGAAAUAAUACGAGAUGACUUAUAUUUGCUUUGGCAGCUCAAUUAAAUUGGAAUUUGUAUCAUCUGGAUGUGAAGUCGACAUUCUCAAAUGGACCGCUGCAAGAGCAUAUUUAUGUCGACCAACUAAAAGGCUUUCAAGUCGUAGGAAUGGAGGAUAAAGUUUACAUAUUACAUAAGGCGAUGUAUAGAUUAAAACAAGCUCCUCGAGCCUGGUACAGUAAGAUUGAUAAUCAUCUCAUUCAUUGUUACUUCAACAGAAGUGAAAAUGAAGCCACUUUAUAUGUGAAGAAGGCUAAAGGUGGAUGUGUUUAUGGUUUCACUCUAUGUUGAUGAUCUUCUGGUAACAGGAAGCAAUAACGCUCUGGUGAAUCAAUUCAAGUAUGAAAUAGAGACCAAGUUUGAGAUGUCAGAUUUGGGUUAAAUAAAUUACUUUUUGGGAAUGUAGAUUCAUCAAGAUACUAAUGGAAUCUUCAUUUCUCAGAGAAAAUAUGCAUGAUAUAUUCUUAAAAGGUUCAAGAUGGAGAGGUGUAAGCCUGUAUCGACCCGGCUAGUUCAAAAUGAAAAGAUCUCAAAGUCAAGGAGGUGAUAGGGAUGAUCCAACAAUUUACAAAAGUCUCAUUGGUAGUUUGCUAUAUUUGAUAACAACAAGACCUGAUAUUAUGUUCUCAGGAAGUCUUUUGUCGAGGUUUAUGCAUUCUCCAAGUCAAGUUUAUCUUUGUAUCACUAAACGAACGUUGAGGUAUAUCAAGGGAACUGUUGAUUAUGGUAUUUGGUUUAAAAGAGAAGAGCAAGGGCAAUUGAUGGGUUAUUUAGAUAAUGACUAGUCAGGAAGCAUUGAUGAAAUGAAAAGCACAUCUAAAUAUGCUUUUACACUUGGUUCAGACAUGUUCUCAUGGAAGUUAAAGAAGCAAGAGUUGAUAGCUCAAUCGUCUGCAGAAGUAGAAUACAUAGCUGCUGGUGU